This 57895-nucleotide long non-coding RNA is filed under the name Ananas comosus (pineapple). Its description in RNAcentral is "long non-coding RNA (ACOM_LNC008134)". Lineage: Eukaryota; Viridiplantae; Streptophyta; Magnoliopsida; Poales; Bromeliaceae. The record is from RNAcentral.
AUAUAUGUAUACUUAAAUAUAUGCCUUGUUAUCAAUUCAGAAAUACAUUUUAUAACAAGUUAAUUAUAUUAUAGAGAAAAAUAAAUAAAUAAAUAAAAACAUUAAAGAAAAGAAAAAGAAACAAAUGAUGCUCUAAUAGAAAGUAAUUUUAGAUUUCUCAACAAACGAGUUACUUCAGCCAACUUUAAUGAGAAUUUGUUUCUGAUAUUUUAAUUCUAUAACUACGUACCAGAUCUUCUCGUUGUCUUCAUAAUAAAUAAUAAAAUUAAUGUCGCUACUUUUAACAAACUUGAUUUAUAAUCGCAACAUCAUAGAUCCAAGUACGAACGAGAUGGGUGAUGUGCACCUGAAUAAGGCCCGACACGAUUGGACAGGUUUCGGCUUUGGGAGCCCGAAAGCAUUAUUUGCGCUUGGGUUAGGACUUUGGAUUGGGCCUAAUAAAAUGUAAAUACUUUUUGGGUUUACUUGAAUUUGGCCCUAAGCCGGAUUUCCGUCUUCUUCUAGUUAAUUAUACAUUUGAAAUCUAUGCCCAGAUUUCAAUUGGCUUUGACGUAUAAUUUUUAUUCUUUUCUUAAUAAACUAUUUUUAGAACAAACCUCGUAAUUUAUUUUAGUUUCCAAAUAUCUAUUAAUUAAUUUCUCGUAUCGUGUUAAUAUCUAGUGGAAUACGAACCAAAAGUGGGCCAAAAAAUGGUCUUAUUAAUUGGGCCUUGUGAAUCGGACUGGGCCUGAUUUUCCUGAAAAAUUUUCUCGGCCGAAGCCCGUAGUUAAAUGCAAGAGACAGAAAAAUUUGAGGGUUGAUUUGCAAUUUGGAUCCUCCCAGGAUAGAUCUCAACUGGGACAAAUUUUGACCACUUAAUUGCAAAGGACCUGCAAAAUUUUCCAUUUUUAUUUUCUUUUCGGGCACAAAAUGAAUUAGAAUUUGGAAAGUGUGUAUUGAAAAAGAAAAGGUUUGGUUUUUGUAUGACAAUGGUAGAUGAGCUAGCACAAAAUUGUAUACAUGUAGCUGUAGAAGCAUUAACUAAAGCUUACACUUAAGCUUUGAUAUUAGACAUUUUCGGAGACUUUAGUAGUGGAUUAGGCCAUUGGUCACCAUCAUCAGUGCUUAAUUAAUGGAAAUAAAACCUUCUAGUGUUAAAAAGUGUAGCUUAUGGUGCAUUAUUUUCCUUCUACAACUUACUUUAAACAAAUGAAAGUAAAGGAAAGGAGUCCACAAGCAUGCUUUAUAAAAAUUAAAGCAAAUAAGAUAUGCAAGGGAUUAAGGUCGAAAUUAAAGGGCUCUUGUUACUUUUCUUAGAAGAGAUUAUAUUGCCUUUCUUGUUUCUCCAAAACAAAUAAAACCAUUUGUUCCUAUCUUAAUGAGUGGAUUUAGGCCCCAAAAGUCUCUUUCGUUUUUGCUCCAUGGAUAUUAUUGUAUUGCUCAAAUGACUCAUUUUAAUCUAAUAUUUAAAACCUAUGGACCCUGUUUAGAUGUUGGAAUAAAUUAUCCUUAAAGAACUUAUUUAAUUGGUAUAAAAAUUUUAUGUUGUGAUUGAAGAUUUUUUAAUUUUAGCUCCUUCAAAAGUAUCGUCAUCUAUGAUUUUGUAAAGUAACAUAUUUCACCUAUAAAAUAAUUUAUCUUAUUAUGAAAAAUUAACUAGAAAGUAAAAUAUAUUAUUUCAUUCUCAAUGUUUAAUUACAUUACUCAUCCAUCAAAUACUAUAUAACCUUUUGACUAGUAAAUCAAAGCUAUAUCCGAAAUAAGAUAUUUAUGCAUUCAAAUUAGGGCUUACUGAAGUACCGUGCUGAAAAUUUAGUUCGGUAAACAAUGAAGUAAUUUUAGUGCUACUUCCACUCUUCCAUUUUUCGCCAUUAAAAGUAGAUAUUAUUGUAAAUUUUAUGACACUUCAUGCAUGUGACUACUAGAAAUAUGUUAAAUUGGCUUCAACUUUUGAUUAAGUGUACCUACCAUCGUAUCUAGGCAUCUAGCGCAAUUGACUAAGAAUUUGAUAAUCAAUAUAUAUUUGCACUCUCAAAUUUGAAGCUUAGUUGCUUCAUAUUUUUUACUAAAUUUAUUCGUAAAAAUUGAAUGAAAUGGAUAGCAUUCUACCUCACUCUCUCUAAAAAAAAGAUUUUAUUUUUUCUAGUUGAGUAUGGUUUAAGUGAAACUGCUCGAAAGCCUUUAGCAUUUUUUGAUUUAAAUCCUAUACAUUUUCUUAUGAAAGUUAGAUAUAGAAGCUAUUGGAGUAUGAAAAUUUUAUUUUUGCUUAUUUAUUAGGAGUUUUUUUUAUUGUUAAGCAUGUAGCUUUUGCUUUUUCGUAGAUAUUGUUCCACAAACUAAAAAUAGAUUAGACAAGUAAUUCUUUAGUUACAGACCGUCCUAGCGUAAGUGGCAAAGGGCUUGAUGAUUGGUACCCGAGGUUUUAAGUUCAAAUCCUUAUUGAUUCACAUUUCCAACUAAGUUUAUUUCUAAAUGAAAUAAAACGAAACGGGUAGCUACCUAUCUCUCUCAAAAAAAAGAAGAAAUAAUUCUUUAGUUAAAGAUGUUAAUCAUGUGUCCUUGAGAGAUUUUUUUUUUUUUUUUUUUUUUUGAGAGAUAGGUAGCACGCUACCCGCUUCGUUUAUUUCAUUUAGAAAUAAACUUAGCUAGAAAUGUGAAUCAAUUAGGAUUCGAACUUGGAUCUCGGGUACCAACCACCAAGCCCUUUGCCACUUGCUCUGAGGACGUUUGGUAGAGGGAUCUUGAGGGUUUGAACCAUCUUUUUCCUAGUACAAAGUUAUUGAUGCAAUUAGGUUUUCGGCUUUAAGAGAUAUGCGAUGAUAGUAGUCUCCUAGGAUAUUUGAAGUUUUUAAAAAUAAAAUUUUAUAUUUUUUUGACAUAGUUUACUUUAUAAUCAAAUUGUUUCACAAUUGUCAAAUUUUAAUAACUAUUAUGAAAAGUUUGUAGUUUAACUGUGUAGAAAAAUCUAAAUUUAUUUAAAUUUUGAUAGAAAAUACUUUAAACUAUCUAGACCAAGGUCAACAUCAUUGAUCUUGAAUUCAAAAGUCCUAUAUUCAAAUUUUAAAAAUUGCUCAAUUUUUACUGUUCAUUUUAACAUGAUUUAACUUACUAAGUAAAUGAUAUCAUAAAAAACGAAAAUUUUAUUCCUAAGAAUUUCAUGGACCCCUAGAUCAUAUUUAACGAUUUGGUAUAGUUGAUUAAAUACUCUAAAUCGAAAACGAAAUUAUAGUAUCGAGCUUCAGUACUAUCAAUAGAAGUAGCUGAAGUCAUAAUAAUAUAUAUAUCCUAUAUAUAUAUAUAUAUAUAUAUAUAUAUAUAUAUAUAUCCGAACCUGAAACCCGACCAAAAAUUCGAAAACUGAACCUGAAAAUCCGACUCGAAAUAAUAUUUCUCUUUUUAAUAUUUCAAAAUAUAUUACAUUAAAUCUAAAUUUUUAAAAUACAAAUUCAAAUAUAGCAUAAAAUUUUUAUAUAGAUAUUAUAUAUAAUGUAAAAUAAAUUCGGGUUUAGCCGAUUCGGGUUCGGAUAAGAUACUGUCCAUAUCCAUAUUCGUCGGGUUUUAUUUUUGAUAGCUAUAUUCAAAACCAUAUGCAUUUAGUAUCGGAUAAAUCCGCUCAAUUCGGUUUCGGAUUCGAAUUCGGAUAAAAUUUUCGAUAUCUGUACCCAUUUACAUGGGCACAAUGGGCCAGCUAAAUAAAGGAGAAAGUAAAUUCAACUUUACCUUGUUAAAAAAAUAAAAAAAAAAAAGCAUGGUCCACGAAAAAAUGGAACACAAAAGGGAUCUACUUGGACCCAUCAAGCUCCACUCCUGACUCCACAACCAUCAAAAGCAGGAAAAGACAUUGAUAAAGUUACUAUCGUGCAUGUCCUGUGUGUUCUCACAUGUGUUAUGUGUACAGAGUUGUUACAUGAAAAAAGAAAAAAGAAAAAAGAAAAAAGUACGUGUAUAUAUAUAUUCGUAUACAGUUUGUAUAAUACUACGUGGAUAGGUACGUACGUACUGAAGAGAUUGCUUCGACCCGAGGGUAAAGAAGGGGAAUUGCUUUAUUGGCAUACGUGUAAGUAAAGCAGAUCCGUUAAAUACAUUAUAUCUAAUAAUAUUUUUUUCUUCGGGCUCUGGUAACAGUACAAGAGCUGUUUUGUGCGAGCAUUUUGGUUUCAUUGUUCUUUUCGAUGUACGUAAGUGUCUAAUUAAGAAGUUAGAUUACUGUAAAAUGAGAUGAAUCAAUGUUUUUGUGAGGGUGUAUAUGUUUCUUGUCCUGAUAAUUAGAAACAAUUAAUUUAGUAAUUAAUCAAAUUGUUAUCGUGUUUAAUUUUUCAAUUUGUAUUAUAUACUGCAACAGAGAUUUGCGUGUGAUCUACGAUAGUGAUUGACAGUGGUAAUACUAUUUGUACACUUAUAUAUAGAUGUAAAUUUUAUACUCUUUUUAUUCAAAAAUUUAUAGACAAUCAAAAUAGAUUUUAGCAAGAUAAAAAAUGUUGAUAAGAUUAAAAAGAAAAGACCAGCCGUUGGAAUAUAAAUUUUAUAUUUAGUUUAGAAAUGUACAAAUAGCAUUGCUGUAGUGGUUAUAGUGGGGUUAAUGAUAGAAUUGUGUAAUUGGUGGUGCCUAAUUGCAAUGAUGGUUAGCAAGAGAGUUACUUUAAAUUAGUUCCCUCACACAAGCAAAAAAAAAAAAAAAAGAAAAGAAAAGAAAGCAAGAUUUCUCCUUAUACAUAAUUUUUAUUCAAUUUCAUAAACGUGAUUUGCAUAACCAAAAAAAAAAAGAAAUUCCUUGAGAAUACAUGAAAUUAUAUUACGAAAAAUAAAUAAAAAAAAUCUUUUAAAAAAGGGUGAUAUUGUGGAACUCUCCAAACAAGAAUAUAUCCGGAAUAUUCGGAGAUCCUUUGAGAUCAAAGACACAGGAAUAUGAACAAUUAAAUAUAAAAGGAUAAAGAUGCCUACUAUUUAGAAAAAGAAACAGUAAAUUAUGCAUAAGGGAAUAAAAUUUAUUGAAGCAUACAUUAACUCAAAUCUAAUCGUCUAAGUCGUGAUCUAUCAUACCAAACACGGUACGAUACAUCAUUAAAACCUCAGACCCCUGCAGGCAAGUAAAAAAAAAAAAAAAAAAUCACAAUUAAUUUCUCUUAUAACACGUGCGUGCAAACACAUAUAUUAGACGUAGAUAUGCGUAGAGAUCACUCCAACACCAUUAUAUAUAUAUAUAUAUAUAUAUAUAUAUAUANNNNNAUAUAUAUAUAUAUAUAUAUAUAUAUAUAUAUAUAUAGAUAGAUAUAGAUAUAUAGCUUCAAAAGCUAUAUACGUGCGUGCGUACUACUCAGUUUACAAGUUUCACAUGUAGAAAUUAUUUCCUACGCUCGGCCGGUGCAUACAUGCAUGUUGUGCACCGCUCUAUACACCGUCCUCUAGUGCAUCACAUAUUUUUAAUCUAAAAAAUCUGUGAUUUUUGAUAAAUUAGAAUUGUGACGAUGCAAUAGAGGACAGAUAGAGUGUAGUGCACAAAAUGUAGUUGUAGGUAUAAACCAUCGAACAGCAGCUCAUAUAUACGAGUCUGCGUCGUUGGGUAGUUUUCUACUGAAGUUUGUUCUGAGGGUAGUCAGGCCCAAACUGCUCAUCUGUUGGCGGUUACCACCUAUAGUACUCUGGCGUGGCCGCGGCACUGCGCUGCAUCCGAAGCUGCUCGUAGAACCUUCUGAUGAACUCCUCCGCCGCGACGUCCACCCGUUCCCCGCUGUCACCGUCCUCCUCCUCCGUGACGGGGAACGGCGAGUCCGUUAUCCUCAGCUGCCGCACCGGCCCCGCCGCCACCAGCGCCGGGCUCUUCCAGAAGGCCCCGCCGCUCCACGUCAGCGCCGGCGACGGCGUCGCCGCCAUCCAAUCGGCGCCGGCCACGUCGUCCUCGCCGAGCAUCUCGAACGCCUUGGCGAUCGCCGCGGCGUCGUAGGCGCGGAGGUCGUCGUCGCCGCGGCGGUUGCGGCGGUUACGGCGGUUGCGGUUGGUGGCGACGCGGAAGAAGAAGAAGGAGGAGGAGGAGGAGGAGGAGGAGGAGGGGGUGUUGGUGCAGCUGAAUUCGACGUCGCGGGUGCGGUCGACGGAGGCGCAGGAGAAUGAGGCUGCGGCGGCGGCGGCGGAGGAGGAGGAGGCGGCGCCGCCGUGAUGGUGGUGGUGGAAGGUCAUGGUGGCCAUGAGGUUGGCGAGGGCUUUUCCGGCGAGCUUGCCGCGCUUGAGGAGGAGGUGCAGGUCCAGCAUCACCUUCCGCUUGGAGACGAGGCCCUUGCGCAGCAUGUAGUACACCACGCGUACCACGUGGCGCACCCGCUCCACCAAGGACUCCAUAUGCAUGUGAUUGUAGAUAGAUUCUGGGAGUGGGUUUACCAGUUUAGCGAAAGAUUUGUUUGUUGUUGUGUUUAGAUCGGGGAGUGGGGAGGAGAGGUGGGAGGUGUUUUGUUUUGUUUUUUCUUUUUUGGUUUGUUGUUUCUGUGAGAUUGGUGGUGCGAACGAGGGAAGGGGGAGAGCAGGGGGAGUAUUUGUAGGGGCCAAGUAAAAGGAUAGUAAGUAGCUAAACAAAAUAAUAAUAAUAAUAAAAUAUAAAAAAUAAAAGAAAUUGGGACAUUACGGGGAAGUGAGUCGAGAGUCUCGAGACUCAUUUUUCGCUGGAGAGAUAAAGAGAGAGGCAUCUGGGACAAUUUCACGCAUGCAUCGUUGCUUAGUCACUAAGGUCCUUUUUUUUUCUGAUCUGCUGUACUUAAUUCACACGUGCUUCAAUAUAUUCAUCGCCAAAGUAAUGCUAUACAUGCAUUCUCAAAAGAUUGUAUGAUGUACAUUCUAUUUAUUCAAAAAUAAAAAUUUUAUUAUUAAUUCUGCUGAUAUAAUUAGUGAAGUAUAUUUUUUAUUUUUAGAUGGAUGAAGUGUAUAUUUUAUAUGUUUUUUGGGAGCCUACGACAAAAGUAAUACUACACAUACAAUAAACUGCGUUCCUUCUCCCUAUUUAAUAUGCUGCAGUGUGCAUCAGAUUCUAGCAAACAAACUUUAAAACUUAGACAAAAUCUAAUUACUAGUGUAAAGCUUACCCCCACCGAUCUUCUAAUUAAUACGGGCCGCGAUAGUUAAAAUUAUACAAUUAAUUUACAUAAUUUAUUUAUCUUUAUUUUUUUAUUAUUUUUUUCUUUUCUCUUGCGGACUUUUUUAAUGAUUAUUUCAGUAGUUAUGCUGUUUAAUUAGUUGGCUUUAUAUAUCUAGAAUAGAUUUUCUACCCUAAAUUCAAUAAUAGCCAAGCUCUUAAUAAAUAAAAAGUUUAUACGUGAACUUAAUUUAGAUUCCUAAAAUAAGUGCUCUUAUAAAUUUUUUAAAAAUAAAAUUAUAAAAUACAAAUCUAUUUAUAAAAAGACAAAAUUAUAAUUAUAUAAUAAUAAAUUCUCCAAUUAGUUAACCAACUAAAAACUAAAAUACAAAAUAAGAAACAAGCUAUACGUUUUGCAACAUAUAUAGGCCAUGCAUGAAAGCGUACAAAGUCCACAACAACUUUUUUCCCUCGUUAUAUGUACGCUUAGUUCAUUUUGCUUAAUGAAUGAAGCAGGUAGUUUGCUACCUAUUUCUCAAAAAAAAAAAAAAAAAAACUUUUUUCCCUCGUUAGCUAGCUUGACACACAUAGUUUAGUUUAAGGUGGGAUGAAACUUUAAUUAACUUCAAAUUGACAACCAACAAAGCUUUGUUACUUAAGGUGCAAGCGAAGAGCUUUGCAUAUGCUUUGGUUUUGUUUUUAUUUGUAUUUUUCCCUUCUACCUAGUGCUUUUGCACAAAGUUGGUAGGCUCGAAGCUCAAGGGAACUUUUUCAAAAUGCUUACUUGCAUUGUGGGUUUUGGUUUGGCUUAAUUUCCAACCCAGUUGAACGUAUAGAAGAAACGUAUGUCCUGUAAUUCUUAAGUUGAUUACGAGAACAUUGAUUGCAACAAUUAAUAGAUAAAUCCCAAGUUUACCAAGAUUCCCCACUUUAAGUUUUGGCUCAAGUUUUUCACAAGUAUUGGAUAGUUUAAGUUUUACUACAAACAAAUCUAAAUAUAAAGACACUUUGCGACGCUCCGGGGAAGCGUCUCUGCAAUAUAGCAAAUACCAACACUUAAAAAAAUGUCGUUAUAUGAAUCCUCUAUCGGACUUAAAUUAAAUGGAAGAAAAUCAAUUAUACUAGGAGCCUGGUGUGACUCGAAUUUAGGACCUUAUGAUUUGACACCGUGUUAAAUAAUACGAAACAACAGUUGGCUCUAAAAUCUUAAAUUGAUAGAGAACGGUAUUUAAAUAUUUUCAUAUUUAACACAAAUGUGACGCUAGACUAUAUGAGACGCUUUUAAACAUUGUUAAAUAUAAAAAAAGUCCUUAAAUGCUACCCCUUUUUUUUAUAGUGUUUUGAAACUAUUUGGCCUUGACUUAAUUUGUUAAGUUUUUAUAUUCAGUAACAACAACAUUUGACAAACAAAAAAUGGACAGCUUCCACUUUUAUCGAUCGAUCGAGUUGUUGAAAUUAGAUUUCUAAACUUCAAUAUGUUAUAAUAUUUCUUCUAAUGUAUAGCAGUACAAUAUAACGAAGCUAAUUAAUUAAGUAGGCCCUAUAUCAUAUAUUUAUCUUUCUUUUUCCUUGAAUUAAAAUAUAUAGAGUGGCAUGAUUAUUCAUGUAGGGGACCCGGCCCUAUAUCAUAUAUUUAUCUUUCAUUUUCCUUGAAUUAAAAUAGAGUGCCAUGAUUAUUCAUGUAGGGCUAUGUAUCUCACUAAUUAAGAACCAAAUUUCUUAUUCUAAUUUGCAAGCAACUCCUCCAAUAUUUAUAUGGUGCUAGAUUUUUCCACCAUUAAUUAUGAAUGUGUAUGAUGCUUCGAGAAGAGCAAUAAUUGUUGCUUAACCAAGUGUAUCAAUCUCUGUUGACAAUAACAUUUAAAGCCAUUAAUCUUAUUUAAAUUCGCUCGAGCUUGAUGAAUCAUUCAUCACAUAUGUUAUAUACUUAAAAGGCUUAUUAAUUUGCAACCCUAGUUGUUGAACUUUCGUACAACAAUCUACAUGACAAGUUAUGGUUGACUAUGCAAAUACGUACUACAGUUUUUUUUUUUUUUUGGUUCUUGCAUAAUUAAUUUCAAAAUUCAACUAUCUAUGUCACAGUGAAUUGAAUAAUUUCCAACUAAUUAAAGAUAGCAAAUGGAUUGGCAACACAUAAAGUUGUAGCUAUUUCCUAUAGCCAGAGUAAUAGCGAAUCCAAUCGCGCCAUUAAUAUUACACAAUUUUUAUAUAUUAACAUGUAUACAAAACUAUUAUAUUUUUUUUCCUAAAAGUACAAGACACUAGCUAGACAAAGAUGUUUCAGUAUUAAAAUAUCGGCUUUUAGUGGCUGGUUUAUGUUUUUAGAAAAAAAAAAUCAUUUUAUUCGAGUUCAGAGCAAGAGGAAGAUACGUUGAACAUGCUAAAGUCUUUUCAUGCUCUAGAUCUUAAUUAUAUCAUUAAUUAUCAUCUAUUUAAUUUAAAUUCACAUAUUUAGCCUACUAAAAAGUCUGCACAAGAGAGAGAAAGGAUUCUUGAAUAGCUUAAGCUUUCGAUUUGAUUUGAGCCAAUCAAUGAUAUGUACAUAUCCGUAACAAAUCAAUGUUUUUUCAAUUAAGGUCAAGUAUUUUGAGUUCUAGCUUUGGAAUUUGAGUGGUUUAAUGGUGGUUAAUUAGGCAAGUGGGUUGGUGGAUCCAACAUGCAUGUUUUCCUCUCCUGGUUGUAGAAAGGAGCACUUAAAACGCAAAAGGUAAACCCUUUAGCUAAAGCCCAAGUUUAUGCACUUUAUUGUGCACCUGGUUUGUGUCCACACCCCCACCAAUACAGUGGGUCUUUAAUUACGGCUACUUAAUCAAUAAUUGUUGAUACGUAUGGAAUUGGUAAGCAUAUAAAAAUAAGUCAUUUGCCUUAUGUACGUAUAUAUAUAGUUGCAAUCCUCAUGACCCACGUGGAUUUUAACGUUGUAUGUUGUCUAGUGUUAAUGGGGAACAUGAAAAAAAGCAAAAGAAAAAAAAAAAUGUUUUAAUGGAAAAGCGUAAAAGAGCACCCACAUAGUGAUUAGGUGUUUGUAUGCUUUGACGAAUGAUUUCAGAAUCUUAAGUAAUCUCUUAUUAGAUAGCACUUUAGGUAUCUAGUUCAACUAAUUUUCAUCCAAGGAGAACUUAGUGGAGGCUUUUAUGUUUUGUUAUUGGUAAGACUUACAAGUAUUAAUUACCUGAAUCAUAAAUCAUUUUGAGUUGACUAUCUAAUCUUUCAGUUUAUUUAAUUUGAGUCAGUCAGCGAUAACGUUGACUUUAAAAUUUGAAUGUAUUAUUUAUCUUUGUAAAUUUAAUCAGUGUACAAUUCUCAUAAUUAUAAAUUUAUUAAAAUGAGCAAUUAACUUAAAUCUUGAAGUUAAAAUAUCGUUGACUAACUCAAAUCAAAAUAAACCGAAAAGUUGGAUAGUAAAAUCAAAAAAAUGAAGGAUCAGGUAGUCAACUCAAAAUGAUCUAUAGCUCAGAUAAAUUAUAUACAUUUUUCUUUUGUUAUUUCUUAGGUAAUAUGGUAUUUGAGCAAAAAAUCCUAAUUAGUUUCAUUGCCGUGAAAUUCGUGUAACAUUUGAUCAUGAAAACCAUCACUAUUUAAUUAAUUCAAGUCUUUAUAUAUCUCCUGGUUCAACCAAAAAGUCUCGAGUUCAAACAUCAGAUAUUAAUUUUUAAAAUUAAGUUGGAAGAUUUAAGAGAAUUAUAUGCAUUUAAUUUGUGCCCGUCAAGGCUUUAAUAUUUUCCAACAAUUUCAGAAGCCACCGUGAUCCUUCUACAAUUAGCUUUGUUAAGUGAUCAUUAUUAAGCCUAAUUAGGAAAAUAUUCUUUUAUUUUUUUUUCUCCUCCAUCAUGCACCACGUGCAGCUUAAUUAUAUACACAGCAUGCAGAUCUAAAAGUCAUGAGAUAUAUGUAUAGUAGCAGGAAUCUACCUUACAGCUCUAAGCUUGUCAACUUUAAAGAGCUAAAUAAAGCUGAGCAAAUUAAAGCACACUGAUCUAUUGUUCUUUUUCCUAAAGAGAGUAAAGUGAAAGCAAACUGAUCAUAUAAUUUUACCAAAGAAUUAUUUUCAAUUCACAAGUAAAAAAGAGUUCUUCGCAAGAUAUAACAAUUUUGUUAUGUGAUUACCAAAAAGUAUUGUAUUGAGUAAUCUUAACAUUUAUUUUCUUCAGUUGAAGCAAAAGUUCCACCAAGUUCAUAUCUGAAUCUAUUGGUUUGAGUUAGUGUCAAUCCAUUUUGGUCAACAAUUGGUAUAUAUGAUUCGUGAUCUCAAUAUAUUCCAACACAAAAUAUAUUCUUUGAAUGGAUAUAGACCACCAAAUUAAACUUCGGUAAAAUAGUAAAUGUUGUAUGGAGAAAAUAUAUAGCAGAUAUUUGAUAACAAAAUUGUUCAGUUUAGUUUAGUUUUCUGGCCAUGCAAGUUUAGUUUCAACUUAAAUUUAAAAAAAAAAAGAAACAAAAACCAAAUUGUGAUUAGUUUGAUUUGGACUAAUUGUAAGAACCAAAUCCAACUGAUCCUAUAUAUAUUGCACACCCAAGAAAGACGUACUUCGAUUGCUACGGCACACGUAAACACAUCAAGAUGCACAAUAGGAUACAAUAUGCGCACUAUUUUUAUUUGUUUUGCAAUGUUAAAAUGCUAGGCAAAAGCUCUCUCUUUUUUUCUCCCUCUUUUCUUACUUAAUUUAUACCUAAGCAACAUAAAUUAGUUAGCUAAGUAAUUUCUCUACAGUCAACAUAUGUAGUUCUAUUUGGUUUCCCUAUGUACCUCUCUCUAAUUAAUGUUUACAGUAAAUGAGACAGCCAAAUAAUUAAGCUCUCUCUCUAAAAUAAUCGAUUCAAACUAUUUCUUGUAAACUUUAACAAUCAAUACAAAGUUUGUAACCUCCAAAAUUAGAAGCUUUAAUCCAUUUUCUUCUACACAAACCUGAGGGAGUCGAACCCUUCCAUCUCUUUAGAUGAUCAUCCGAUCGAGUAACAACUACUAGACUAAACAGCGAUUGUUAUGUAUUUUUUUACCACAUUACUACUACUCAUGAAAACCCUAGUGUUGUGCUUUUAGACAUUUGCUUGUUUAAUUAAGCCGAAGAGAUUUGAGAUCCAUAAGUGACAUGGCAUUAAGAGAUAAACACAUACAAAAACCCCAAAAAAAAAAGAAAAAAAAAGAGGAAAAGGAAUGUGAAAUGAAAGAGUGGGCCUAAUAAUAAUUAGAUAGGUAAGUGUAGGUGGGUCAAGGCAUAAUUAUGAGGAGAUCUAAUCAUUGAGGGUAUGCUUCAUGGAAGCACCAAUUUGCCCACCACUCUUAAUUUACUGGUUCAAAUAAUUGUAGAUAUUUUAUAUUAUGUGUCUUUUUUAGGGCCAUAGUAAAACAUAUAUACGUGGCUACAUAUUUGACAUUUAUCAUAAAUUUUUGGCCAUCAAGCUAAACAUAAUUUAUUGUAUGUCACGUAGGUCAUGACACAUUAAUUGCUCUGCAUGGACCCAUCAGAUUCACGAUUUUUAAUAUUUCCCUCAUCCUCCAUGUGUUUUAUAAAAUUAUUUAAAUUAGUACUAUUUAAUUCUAGUUGAAUAAUUGUAAAAAUAGUGAAACUAGUAGGAAUAUUAGAUUACGAAAGAUUAGAAGGUACUCUUAGUUCAAUACUUGAUGGAAAUUAACCAUUAAUGGUUUAUCAAUAAGAAUAUAUAAGUUUAAAUAUAUAAGUUAAUAUAUUUGUCAUUUUAAAUAUAAAAAUAUAUAAUAUUUUUGAAAUAUUGCAAAAACCUUGAACCAAACGGCCCCUUAAGAAAAUCAAGAUUAUCUAAAGCCGUUACUUUUUGGCCUACCUAACAUAUAUGCAUAUAUGAUUGUUAUCUGAUAAAUUAAAACUCCAUCAUAAAUGGGCCUUACAUCCUAAAUGGGCUGGGCCGUUCUCGGAUCGUGAACAAUCACAUCGUACAUCACCAGAGGCCCAUAAAAGGUGGGACACAAACACGCAAAAUGGGCUGGGCCUAAUUAGGCAAUUUAGCCCACAGAAUAAUUAUACCCUCUCAAUAAAAACUUACAUCAAUUUUCAAAUAUGUCUCAAAAUUGGAGACGAUUAUUAGAAUUCAGAUGAUUUUUUUUUAAAAAAAAAUGAGUAUAUCUAUGUCAUUGGGCUCUAUAUAUCUAACAAUCUAUUUACAUAGCAACUUAGAAAAUAAACAAAAAUUUAGAUAAAAAAAAUCUUCCUUUUUAUUGGAUAAUUUGUUCCUCCAUAUAUCUUCAAAUAUUUCUUUUACAAUAUUUUUCACUAUAGUAUAACAAUAUUUAGAUAAAUUUUAAAACAAUCAAAAUUUAAGUAGCAAACUAGUAAGUAAGCAUAAAGCUUCUAGGGGCACAAAUUACAAUGCAAAGUUUAGAUUGGCAAUUAAGUAAUUCUAAUAAUUACAGGGAUACAUGUGCAAAUGUCACAAAGCUAUAAAUUGAGUAACUCCCACACUUUCCCCUAGAUCUCUCCCCAUCUCGCUGUUUCUCGUUCGCGCGCUCCCUCUCGCUUCGGAGCGUCUCCUCCUUCGUUCAUCGGGCCCCCAAUCGAGUCCUCAUCGUCACUAAUCGCUUCGUUCUAAGGUUCGAUCGAAGCUCGAGCUCUUCGGAAUCUUACUGAUUAGGUUGUGAUCAUGGUGUUGAUCUUUAAGCUUCUCUCUCAUUUGUUCUUGUUUUGUUGUUAGUUUUAUAUUCCGAGAUCUUGUUCAUCGUCCAUUUUUGAAUGAGUUUCGAUCUUAUUCGAUGCGCACAAUUUGGAUUUGGCCGAAGAUUUUUGUUGUAAAUUGCAUAAUUUGAUACUUUGUUGUGCUAAAUUAGAGCAAAAGCAUUUUGUAUAUUCUGUGUCUUUACUAAUAAUGGAGAUCGUAUUGUUUGGAUUGGAUGGAAUACUCUUGUGGUUUUGAAACCCUUUAACUAGUAUUUCUUGCAGAAAUGUAGUGUUAUUCUUAAAGGGGAAUUAGAAAUCUCAAAGAUUCAAGGUUCGAUUAGGAGAGAUAUUUUUGUUAGGGUUUUGGUUGGCUCUUCGUUAUUCUUUAUAACGAAUAUAAAUGUAUUUGAAGAGAUAAUUGGCCAAAAUAUAUUACUACAUUCAAAUGGCGAAGAAACCCUCAACAGAUUUCAGUUUAACUACAGUCAUUGCACAAAUCGACAUGCUUGUACUCAGUUUUUAUGAUUAUUGAUGUCAACUGGGUCUGGCUACGCGAUCAGAUUCAUUUGCAUAGUCACAUCCUUCUUCUGGAUCAAAGUUCUGAAAAAAUAAUCUGUUGAAAAUAAGUAUCUUGUAAUGUGAAGAUCAAUUAUCAAUGUGAAUUUGGCACCGGUUUCUUGGAUUGGAAAGUAGUCCGGUGAAUAAAUUUCUGGCUAAUUCAGUAGAAAGUUAGCUCUGUACUAUGCGCUUAUACAAUUUGCAGAUGGGGUUACGGUAUAGAAAUGAACUGACAAACUGACCUUAAUUAUCGUUCAGUGGUUUGGGAAGCUGCCAUAGAACUUCAUGAUGUCUUGCCAUUUAUUAGGCCGGAAUCAGAGGAGGGGUGAAGGGCCUAAGAUCAAGAACAUACUUGAGGGUGCCUUUCUUUUAUUCCUUAUUUGGUUGGCGUACAAGAUUGGGCAAGCUUACGAUAAGAGGCAUGAAUCCCUGUUUAAGUUUCGUGAGGAAGAUCGUACAGCAUACUUAGCUCGCUUAAGGAAGAUGGGGUACGAUAGUGAUGCCUACAUAUACCCAGAAGAAGUUGAUGCUUCUGGUCAGCUGUACAAAGAAAACAAUGGAGGAAGUAUUUCUACUGAAGGAAGUAUGUACUCUCAGAAAGAAGACAAUGCAGAAAUUCGUAAUAAUUCUUUAGAGCAAAUUGGAAACACAAAUGUAGAACAGGGAUUGUCUGAAGAAAUUGGACUUCGGAAGGAAGAUGACGUUGCCGGAAACUUUACUAUUGAUACUAGAAAUAAUGAUGAGACAGGAGAUGACAUGAGCAAUUCAGAUACAUUGGAUAACAGCGAAUAUGUUCUUAAUAGAGAGGGAGCAAAUUCUCGAGAAAGCAUGAGUGAGUCUCCUUCUGAAGAAGAUAAUGCACUAUCACUCAAGCAGGAAACAGUUGAAUACCAAUCAGACAAUAUCUUGGGGGGUCAUACAAGUGAUAGUGAUACAUCAGAAGAAGCAAACUCUGAUAAAGCAUUUGGUGGCGAGCAUACUGAAUCAUCACUUGGUUAUGACCAACAUAAUGAAGGGAUAAGAACGAACAGUGAGGCUUUGGAUCCAGAUGGUGAGGCAGGUGAAUACCAAGGAGUUGUUGAAAAUGGAAAACAUGGCAUCGAUUCUUCAGAGGAAGGAGUAAAGGAUUUGGAUGGCGGAGCUGCAAAUUCCUCUCAAAAUAACGAACAACUUGGUAUGGAGAUUGAAAAUAAUAUGUUGACUGAUCGCUAGGCAGGUGAAUAUGAACGUUAUGUGCUUCUGUUGCUAAGAGUAUGAGUCUUAGAGACCUUUAAAAGAUGAAAAUCUGAAGCCUAGAUGUUGAAGCCAAUGUCUAUCCAUUAGAAAGACAUAUAAAGUAACAGAAUGCAUAGAAUGUUCAGCUCUUAGAUGAUUACUUCAAAGGACAACGAGCUCGGAUACGUCAAAAUGUUAGACUUUGUGAAGUAGACUGGAAGUGAGGAAGAGAGGGUGAAGUCAGUUGUAUAAACUGGGUGGUCUGCUUAUUCUAACCAUACAGGUCCUCGAAAAACUUGCCUUACUCUCUCUCCUUCUCUUCCACAUUCUUAUACCAUGUUAAGCACAAUCUGUAGGAUACCUACGUAAUGAAUAUAUGCAUGCACAUCUUGCUUAUUAUUCAUCCCGUUUUGUGAGCUCACAAGAUUAUGCUGUUGAUGUUGUUACUCAAGUUCCUAGGUUGCACAAAAGAUAUUGUGGAUCAAGGGCACUAGAGUUGUGUUCACUGCGAUGUAUGUUCUGUUGACAACAGUUAGAGUGUUAGUAUACAUUAUGUGUGUCUAUUUAUCCGUCUCGAUGUCCUCUCUAUAGCUAGCCAUAUGAGAGAGGAAAAGCUACCGUUGAUAGUAGAUAUUUGCGAAAUGCACUAUUUACUGCACUACUUUUGUUGCUCGGGAGUCAUCUUACUGCUGUUUAGUCCUUGGGAAUGUAAAGAACUGUAUCAAGUUCUUCUAUUGAUGAGGCAGGUGUGUAGGAACAGGGCCUCAAGAACAACUAGCUAAUUAUAUUCUCUGAAGAUAACAUUGGAUCACAACACCUCACAUCAAGACCUAAAAUCUUGUCAAAUUGGCCCCUUCAGUGAAUAUAUACUAUGUCUGGAUAGGGGAGAAUGCGAAAGAGAAGAAAAGAAAGCGAGGAGAGAAUCAUUUUUCUCUCGAUUGGAUAGAAAUUUUAGGAAAGUAAGAAGGAGGAGAUGGGAGAAAGGGAGAGAAUAUGUUUGUUUUGAAAGCUUAUUUUAUUUAAUCUGUGAAAGUGGAGAGAAAGGUAGAAAAAGGUAUUUAUCAUUAUCACAAACCCAUUUUCCUUUCGUUUCUCUUCUAUAAUGCCAAACAAUAGAUAGGAAGUAAAGGAAAAUAUAUCUUUUUUUCCUCUCUCUCAAAAAAAAGAGAUAUUUUCCUUUACUUCCUAUUCUUUCCUCUACUCCCUCCCUCUCUCUCUAUCUAUAUAUCUUUUUUUCUUCUCGCAUUCUCUCAUUCAAUAAUAAGCUUCACCCUGUUCGAGUCGGAUAACUAAUUAAUGUAGAAAUUAUCAUCAAGAGAAAAGGGUUGUGUAAUUGCACAACUUUAUGCUUCAUGUUUGGCAAUGAAUGAUAGACAAAGAACAGCCUCAGCCGAUCCUGUGUCUCGUUCUGAUGCGGGAAAUUUUGACCAUUUAAGUUCCAUCCAAUGUCAUGGGUGCAUAUUCAGUCAGAGACAAAUACUUGACCCAUGCAUCCUUUUUGUACUUGGCACAUGCAUUUGACUACACGGUUUGUUCCAUUAAGAUGUUCUUACUUACAACUUACAAGAUUGAGCUUUUCAAAAAUAAGAUUCUGGUCAGCCACACAGCGCGCGCGAGAGUCGUCGUUACGUGCGGCUAUCGUCGCCGUGCGUCGACCGACGGUGCAGCGAUAGGCGGCGGCGUGCGUGCUUUUGGCUCUUCACUCCAUAAUUAAAGAGAUCACGAGGAAGGGUUGUUGCUGCAUAACACUUUAUAGAGGUAGCUUUAGAAGGAGAAAGGUGGUAUUGUAAUCAGUAGGGGGCACUGUGAGGAUACGAGGAUGGUCCCUCCCCUAUAUUGGAUUCCAUCGAUCCCACACGGGGGCCCUGUGCUUCUUGGCCUAUCCAUUACACAAUCCCACUAUUUAUAUAUGUUAGUGUAUUCAUUAAUGGUGUACAUGUCCCUUUUGUUUUAAUUAUAUCUUAGAUCAUCUUACUUACAAGUUUCUCUUUACUAGCUAGUAUUGUUGCCAUGCAUUAAUGGUUAAAAUAAAAUAUCGUAAGUAGACCAACCGAUAUGGUCAAAGUAAUUAAACUAAAUACUUAUUGUAGGUAAUCACGUUCUGAUCAAUGAGAACUUAUUAAUUGCCUGGACUCUGUCACCGCAUCACUUUUGGACUUUAUUUGAUCUGCGCAUCUCUCGUAAUUUUAAUCUCGACCACUCUUCGAAGAAAAUAAUUAAUUUGCAUUAUUAUUGGAUAUGGUGGUGAAGCACUAGGUCCUCAAAUAUAUAGUAGAUUGGAUAAAUGACAGAUUCAUUGGGUGGUUCACAAUGAAUUGGUGGACCAGGUCCUCCCCGCAAUGAAGGAGUAAUAUCUCGUAAUAAAUACAUGCAUGCUUGGCAUAGCCUUUUUAUUUUUCUUUAUAUUGUUGUUUUUUCUUUUUCUUUUUUUUUUUCAAAUCUGGGCAUUUUGGUUUCAGAGUUUGUAGAAUUAUAUUUUUCAUCACUUUGAUUUAUCAAUUUAUGCAGAUCAACAUAAAAGACUUAUUUUUCUUGCAUUAAAAUUCAUAGAUGAAGUCGGCCGUCCUAUAGCUACGGUAGAUGGUGAAGUGCUAAUGAUGGUUGAUAUUCGUUUUGUUUAAGUUCAAAGUCUAAUUAUUUUAUAUUUUCAACUAAAUUUAUUUUUUUUAAAAAAAUAAACGAAGUUCGUUUUGUUUAAGUUCAAAGUCUAAUUAUUUUAUAUUUUCAACUAAAUUUAUUUUUUUAAAAAAAUAAAUGAAGUGAAUAGCCUAGAGGUAAUUAAGGCACCAUUAAUGCUAUACAUCAGCCAGAACAAAUAAAUAUUUUAAUAAUAAUAACUCACAGACUGUGCCUAGCUAGCACAGAUGGCCAAGGAUUUAAUGGCUGGCAUUUGAGAUUCUAAAUUUGAAAAUUAGUUGUUUCAAACAAAGUUCAUUUCUAAAAAAUACACGAAGAAGAUAACGUCUUAUCUUCCUCUCUCUCUCUCUAAAAAAAUAAUAAAUAAAUAAAUAAAAAGACAAUGAAAACCCAACCCCCCAAAAAAAAGGCAAUGCCAAAGCAUGCACCGAGUCAUGAUUUUAAAUCGUACUAGGGUUGAUUAUUUUUCUUUUCUUUUCUUUUUUUUUUUUUUUUUAAAAAGACAUUAACUUAUAAGAUUGCUCGUGCUACUAGGCGCAACCCAACUUGGCAGGGAAGAGGACCACCUUCACCAGUAGCAGUGGUCCUCUUAACUCACAUUUCUCGCUGCCUUAGGCGCAAAACUUUAUGGGACACUGCACUUUUGUGCCUAUGAAAUGGAGAAAAUGAUAGAUGAUGCAUGAUAAUCUCCCAAGGGCAUGCAUGCAAGUGGUUAAUUAAUUUACUACUCCUUUAUUCCUAGAUUGCAAAAGGACUAAAUUCUCUCAUUCAUUGGAGCUUGAUACCUAGUGGAUCAGUGUAAAGGUUCGAAUGGUUAAUGCUGUUGCACUCAAAAGAUCCAUCUAAAUAGGAAACAGUUGAGGAAUACAUGCAUGCAUGCAUGCAACGGUAGAGAUAAGGCGUAGCUUACUACGUACAUGGCCUCAGAGGAGAGGCAUUGAACAUGCAUGUAUCAAAUAACGAUUUAGUUAACUCGUCGAAGGGGAUGUGCUGUGACAGGAAAGGCCUACUUGGGGCUUGUAUAUAUGCCCAUGCUGAAUACAGUGUUGUUUUAUAAAGUGUUAUAGGAUAAGAAUGAUACGUAUAUGUAAUUCCUCCUAACAGCUUAGCCUUUUAAUUACUGCAAAAUUAGAAGUCAUACCUUAGAGCUUGUAUAUUUGAGCCUUGAAAAUAUAUCUCUUGUUUCCGAACGCUCUAUUACUAUUUUGUAGAGAAUGCGCGCGGCUAACUGAUCGAGAGCAAAUUAAGUUCUAAAACAAAUGCCUCAACUAAAAAGAAAAAGAUAGUAAGGCUUUCCGUAUGAAAAUUUUUUAUUGUGAUUGUUAAAAUGGAGUUUGUUUCUUUUGGUCCUUGAAAGGUUUUGAUAUCUAUAAUUUAAUAGGAUCACAUAAUUCAUCUACCAGAUAAGUUAUCUUAUUCUAAAACAAUAAGUUGAAGACGGAAUAUAAUGUCUAAUUUGCAAAUAUUUGAUCAUACUUUUUAUCGAUCAAAUUAAUGUUUAGACCUAGUCAGUGCAGAUCGUUCCUCUCGAUAGAUAUACUCACUAAAUAUUUAUUUAAGUUCUCAGAGGCUAAAGUUCAGUGUAUAACACAUAAUCUCGAAAGCAUAUACAUCCGUGCAUGAACCUUUACCACUUGAAGGCUAUAUUUAGGGUUUUGGGAUGAGACAGUUAAGAGGUAUCCUUUUGGUGUGCUUGUAACCCCUGUUUGCUGCAAUUGCAUGCAGCAAAUUGCACCUUUGAUGGAACAGCACAAAGUUGCUCUAACUAAUUAAUAGAUAUCUAACCGAAAAUAUCACAUCCUAUGUCACUUCAUAAUAGGAUAUUUUCAUAGUUGAGAAGCUCCAUCUUUAUUGCACUAUUUUUUUUUUUUUCUGAAAAAUCUCAUCCAACCAUCUCUUUAGUUAGGUCCUUGAACUUUUUGGCCCCACCCCUUUUACUGGUUUUUCAGCAUCUAUAAAAGGGAUGGAUGUUCCCAUUCUGGGAGAAAAUAAGACAUACAGUAGAUAUAGAAACUGUUCUUGAGAGGAAGUGUAGGCAUGCCAGAGGAGAACAUGCAAAAACAAAUGAGCAAAGAAUACAAAUCAUUCCUUCUUCCACCCAAGGUAUCUUAUAGCUUUAAUUAACCUAUCUUUUGCUUCUACUUUUAGCUAGAGUCGUAUGCAACAUAGCAUUUGACAAACAAAAUACUUCUGAGCUCCUAUUGCAGCCGGAAGCUGAAACGAGAUUGAAAGCUCCGAAAAUAUAUAGAAGUUUCAAUUUGAAGCUUUUGGUUAUAUUGGAGAACUCUGUUAAUUAGGAGGUUUUAAUAUAGCGCUUCUUACACUACUCGAUCAACUAUUAUUUUAUUGAAUAGCAUUACAGUACCCUAUAGCGUGACCAAAUAGGCCUUCAGAAUUUUCGAAUUUGAUUUAGAAGUUCUCAUUUGCUUAAAUUUGUUGAUGUUAGUAGACUCUUGAUCAUCUUUUACUUGGCUUUUGAUUCAAACCGAUCACAGAAGAAUGACCAUGGGCUUCGGCGCACCUACUCCGAAAUUCUGGUUCCAGCUGCAGAGGCAAGCAAGAUCAUUGAAGAGCUAAACCAGAACACGAAAUCUAGCGAAGUAGAGAUAGUGGAGUGCGAGUGCUGCGGCAUGUCGGAGGAUUGCACUCCUACUUACAUCGGAAAGAUCAAAGAGUUCUUCUGCGGGAAGUGGGUCUGCGGCAUUUGCUCGGAAGCAGUGAAAGAGAGGAUGAGACGCGAGCCGUCGAUAGACAUAACCGAAGCAUUGGACUCCCACAUGGCUUUGUGCAAGAACUUCAACAGGACCGUUAGGAUAAACCCUAAUCUCUCCUUAGCAACUACAAUGAGAGCCGUCGCGAAAAGGAUAUUGCAAGAGAGGUCCUCCAAGGACCUCAGUGCGAAUCCGAAGAUUGCGAGGACCGUGAGCUGCAGUCCGAGAUUAGAUUGCUGAGCGAGAAUUUUAUGGUUUUCUUUGUUAAUUAGUAGUAGUAUCAUAAAACCCUAGGUACGUACGUAGGCCCUCAUGUAUCGUAGUAGUUGGUACGUACAUGCAUGGGGAGUGCACGCGCGUAGUGGAAUGAAUAAAUGAUGAUGUACAUUACUUUACGUUCGUACAAUACGAGAAUAAUAUGUUUACUUACUUUGUUAUGGCUUACGUAUACAUGACCAAAAAUGUUUAUUACUCUAGUUAUUAUUGCCCCAUCAAAGUAGAGUUUACAAAAAAUUAUUUGAAUAUAGAAUAUAGCACAAAUCUUAAUUAUUUUCGAUUAAAAUAUAGUAAACUACUUUUUUUUAUUAUUAUUGUGGGGGGAGAGAGAGAAGGAUUUAGAUGUUAGUUUAUCCAUAGUCAAAAUCAGUAUACGCAUAUUUAUCUUAAGGUCCGUGAAAAAUGAUCAAGAUCGACUAUUUGGGUAUCUAGAAACUAAAAUCACUCCAUUAAAAAAAAAAAAAAAAGUAAAAUCACAAUUUUUGGGUUUACUUAUGUAAUGAUCAAAUAGUUUCCUAUUUAACAAUAUUAGUGGAGAUGUGUGAUAGAAACUACAUGCAAAUACUUGUCAUAUAACUCCAUCCUCAGAUUGCUGAUGCUUUAAGGAAAUUAAUUAUCUAAAUCAGUUGAAUAUAUAUUUGAUUUUUUUUCAAAUGUCUAGAUGAAGAAUAAUGAAUCUGAUUUUCAAUUGAGGAAUCGUUCAAUAUAUCAAAGAAGCAUUAUCGUGUAUAGUAUUGUAUUUGAUAGGAAAAAAUAAGCAUAAAAAUCCAUUCCGUUAAGAAUCAUAAAUUAAAAUGUUUUAGAAGCUGAAAAUUUUAAUUUUCUGAAGUUAUUUUUAAUUUUAACAUAAAUGAAAAAAAUAAUAAAGUGAAUAGUUUAAUUCUAAAAGCAAGGAAUUUGUUCAAUUAUGAUUUUUUUAAUUUUAGUCACCACACGUGAUUCAACCACCUCGCGUCCACAGUCCACUCGAACCAAUGUUUCUUUUACAAGGCACCACGAAAAAAGUUUAAAAGAGACAAAAGAAAGAGAGAGAGAGAGAGAGAGAGAGAGAAGCUCUCUAAUAAAGUAACNUUUUUUUUUUUUUUUUUUUUUUUUUUUUUUUUUUUUUUUUUUUUUUUUUUUUUUUUCCCUCCGAGGAUUAUGUGGGGACCCAAAACUAUCAAAUUAAAUCCGUGAAUGAAAUGUUAGUGUAAUUAUGUAUGUUGUGUGUCUUAAAUUCUCAUUUGCGGGAAAAUACUUAUCGCAGGCCCGGUGAAUCCGCAGUGCAUCUACGUAUUAUACAUUUUUGGUGAAAAUGCAAUUUGAAGUGUGUUUUGUUAUAUGAGAGAUCCAUGUGAUCGUCUUUUCUUACAUUGACAUGGUUAAGAGGCUUCACAUGCGCACAGGAUCGACAGGUUUAAAAUAGUGACUUGAUAUUCACAUUUAAUUUCAACCUCUUAGGACCGCAGAUAUUAUUUAUCGGAAUAAUAAUUGAGAUACAAAAAUUUCUACUAGGAGUUCUGAAUCCUAAGUCCAACAAAUUAAAUUUUAGUUUUUAAAUUAGGAAUAAAGCAUAAUUUACUCUUGGCCUUUUUUCUUCUAUCUUUUUAGCUUCGCUCAUUUUUUUAUAUAAAAAACCUUAAUUAAAAAUUUGAAACAACUACACCUUAAACUUGAAGUAUGCAAGCAUUCAAAACGCUAAGAAGCCAAAUUAAAGCAUCCUAUAAAUGUUUUCCAUGAGCUGAUAAAUACAAAAACCAUCCUCACAUUCCUGUCUUAAUUAUUCCUUUCAUCUUUACCUGCUGCAAUCUUAUAGUUGUGCACAAUACCGAUACCUCAGACUAGCCCUUUCACUAUGAAAUUGUUGCCAACUGAAACGGAACGGUGCCGGAGUAUACACUAACCAUAGGACCAACAAUUUCAAAGGCACUUGAAUUCAUCGCGUCGCUUCGAAUGUACGAAAGGGAUUCACACGGAGAACAGAGAACACUAAUCGUUUGAAAUUACAUCCCAAAUUACAAUGAAACCAAAAAUACUUUUUCAGGACAAACAGUUUUCACACAAACUGGGCACAGUAGGGCACCACGGUACACCGGUAUUGGGUAUAUAUAACUUAUGCACUGUAAAUGCAGAGCAAGCCAAAGCAAUGAGCAUUCUGUAGUCCGAACGAGGAGGCGGAAAGCUUUGCAGCAAGUGAGAGCAAAAAGCGGCAAUCGGUGAAAUAUAAGUUUGUCUUUUUACCGUUUUGAGUUGAGUUGUAAGCUAAAUAAAGGACCAGUUAACAAACAUGAAGCAGAUGCAAUGGGUAUCAUCUUCAUCAUUCAACACCUUCCACGCGACAGCUUUCUCGUAAGAGACAGGCCGACCCAUGCUUGAAACGCACAGACCGCCUUGGACGCAGGCAAAACCCUGCAAAUAGACAAUACUAGAAGUUAUUCCUCGAAAAUAGAAGCGCCAAUUCUGACUAUGGGAUUGGCCUUUCUUCUUGUUUUUUUUUUCUUUUUUUUCUUUUUUUCUGAAACACCCUGCAAGCAUAUAAACAAUCAAGCAUAUGAUGGAUUAAGCUACGUAGAUUAGUACUAAAAAGAAGAAUAUGUACAGAAAAUAAACAAGAUGAGGUAAAAAUAGCAAGUACAGUGCGCACAAUAAGUAUCUGAAUAUAGAAGAAAUAAAUUGGAGGACAAAGUUGGCCGGGUAGCUCUGCAGCUGUAAGUUUGCAUCUUACAAAAUCAAGGGUGAAAGCAUACGUCAGUCCAAGAAAAUUUUGUUUACUGUGUUCCCUCAUUUUCUAGCAUUUCUAAAUCCUCUUGCUUUAUUCUGAAAUUCUUGCCAAAAAAGGAGAAGAAAAACUUAGGAGAGACUAGACUGUAGUGUUUGCAACCCAAAGAUGGAUAUCAUAGUUCUGCUUCCUAAUAUGUUCAAUGCAUAAAAUCAUGGAUCUAAACAAGGACAAGGUUUUUAAAGCCAUCAAAAGGAACAAUACAAUGCUUCCUAUUUGGCGAUCCAGAUUCAAAUCAUGAAUAUGCAAAUCAAUAACCAUAUUUCGAUACUCAUGAAUAAAUACACUAUUUUUGACUAGAGAAACGAACCUUCUGAAUUAUCUGAGGGAAUUCAUUGCAGAGAGUCUUCUUUCCAUUGUCAUCAAAUAUCUGCUCUGGAGUUAUCUCUUGCAAGGCUACAGAUGUUGUCUCAAGCAUGUCAAGACCUGCCUGGUUCGCAAACAUGAAGAUGGGCGCAUCCUGCAAAAGACACAAAAAACUGUGAUGUAGAUUUCCAAACAGAGUAUCUUUGUUAGAUCACAGAAAAUUGAAGAGAAAGAAAAAUGCAAACCUUCACCGAGCAGCAAACAACAGCAUCUGAGUGGUGCCAAAGUGAUUUGAGAAGUGGUUCGUUGCCCUCAGUAGUAGGUUUAAGAAGUUCGACUCCAGAAUGACCCCUGUAUUAUAGUACACAUAUGUCCUUGAAUUUAUGGAAGAGAGCAGUUUGCAUUCAAUAUAUAUUAGGCAUGAUCAUUCUUUCAAAAAGCUAACCAAAAAGUACAAAUUUUAUCAGUAAAACCAAGACAUUAGAAGCUGAAUUACAUUAAAAUCCUCAACAGUCAUUUUGUAUAACUGGAAACUUCAUUAAUUUCAAAAAAGUUUUAAAAAAAUCAUGCAUGUGAGACAGCACUUAAUUAUUGUUAAAAUCUCAAAAUUUGCAAGCAGAUUAAGACCAAAUACAUGGCAAAGCCAUUUUUUCGAUAGAUGCCCUUGUCAGGGGCACCUAAACAAAUAUGCAAGGUUUUCAGGGACACGUACAAAAGUACCAAUUUUUGCAGGGAUAUCUUCACAAUAUACAUUUUUCCAGGGUAAUGUAUGCCAAACUCCAAGACUUACAAACUUACGCACAAAAAGAAUUUAAGUGCAGGUAACAGAUAUAUAUAGCUUUCAUGCUUGGAAUUCAACAUACUUAUGGAGACAGGAAGUUAGUGUUGUUUGGCCAUAUGACUCAUAACUCUUAGGUUUUGCUUUUUUCUUCAAAAUAUUCUGGCUGUUAGAAGACAUAUAAACUUCUAUUAUUAAAUUUUGAUAUGACAAUGCUAGAUGGCAAACCUAUAGCUUUCACAAAUCCAACGAGCAAGCAUCAGCACUUCCGGACUUCCUGGUGGUGCACACAGGCCACCAAGAGAAGCAAUACGUGAAGGUGAGAGAGCCAAUGCAACCCUUUGGACAGAGGAUAUAAUACUGCGCACAUAAUGUCGAGCCAUGGAUGCCACAUUCUCUUGUAGGUGGCUCUCAAAUGCAAAUUGAAAUGCAAUUGUCAUUACAGAUCUCGUGGCUGAAUAACGGCCAGAAGGAUCUCCACAAACUCUGGUUCCUGUUGGUCCAACUUCAAGAGUAGAGGCAAGAUCCAGUGUCCUAUUACUAGGACUGCAAGUGUCCUGCAUCGUAAAGGUAAAAACAAGUAAUUAAUAGAGAAAAACACUCACAACUAUAAAGUGAUGCAAUGAGAAUCUAGUCAACAAUGGAAACCCAUCCCCGUUGACGAAUAGGUGUUUACCAUUAUAGAGUCAAUAGGAAUAAUCCGGAAACCAGAAGGCAACAAUGGAGCAUCAUCAGCCAAAGAGGCAUCUAUUGGAGCAAAUAUAAGCUCAGACCAGGUGCCUACAGCAUUUUCGUCCAGUCCAGUACAAAGCUGAAAAAGCAAAAGAUACAAUGAGCAUCAUAAUUCAUAAGCAAAUACUCAACACUAUAGUAAUUCAUUACAAUAUAUUGCAAACAUUGAGCUAGAACAGAAAAGAUGCUUGACAAAUAUUUACUUUUUUUCUGGGAAACCCAUUCAUGAAUAUGAACAAUUCAGUUUUUCAAAAUUGGAUACUAAGUUGUAAGAAGUAACAAAUUAAAGAGGAAUGAAGCAAUGACAACAGAAUCUGCAUUAGCUUCUUUGGAGACCAUAAUGAAUAAUCAUUAUGUAUAUUUCUGCAGUGAUUCUAAGGCUUCGGUUAAAUCAUUAUUACAUCAUACUAGCAAGCAUGAAAAUGUUAGGUCUCACAAGAUUCUUUCUCUUUGCAAUUUUCCUUAAUCCUGUGGGAAGAUAACAUGCCACCCCAUUAGAUAGACAAGCAAAUUUGUGUGCAAAGCAAGGAGUAUUAGACAUACUUGCAAGAGAAGUAGCUCACGAGGCACAAGGGCAUCUCGAUAAUAGCCAAUAUUUUCCAAUUUAAGCACCUCUAGAAGCUGCUAAGAAAAGGAUGAUAAGCAGGUUCAAUAAGAAAGGAAAGUAAAAUGUCCUUUACCAACAAAUAACAGUAAGAAUCAUUCAACUGACUGAACUAUCCAAAAAACAUUACCUCUUCAUUAUCAAGUGAAUGAGCUAGUGGUAAUAUGACCUGACCACCAAAUGGUCCAAUAUGAGGCACUGAAAAAUUGCAUGAAUUGGCUCUUAGCGCUGCAGCAGAGAAUGCGUCCAUAUUACUGUCUCCCCAUUCUGACCGGUGCUCUCUUAGAAAUCUCAGGAGCAUUGCAGGAGACACAUUCUACAAAAAAUAAGUAAGAAAUAAUUAAUGCAUGUCUGAUAGGUGAAUUUGUAGCAGUCAUUAGAUAUUUUCAGUUAGAAGCUAAAUAGAGGAAGUAAUUCAUAAUAUUGAGAGAAAUUCAAAUCACACAAAUAAUUUAUUAAGAAGCACGCAAACAACUACAGCAACAAAAAAAAGCGGGGGGUCAAUCACAUUAUCUAAUGUUAGGAAGCCAACUUGCUCUUUUUAACGAACCAUAUCUUCUCACAGUACUAUCAUCCUCCUAUUUUAAAGGAAACAAAUGUAGUAAACAGUUCUCUGAGCGUUCAGUUAAUUUAAGUUGUAAGAGGCGCAAAAAUCCGCCGUAUGUUACAAGACAGUUUAUACUGCAGAAGAAUUCUAAGAAAAAUUCCAUUUCUAUAUAUCAUACCAAUAAAGCUUGACCAUCCAUCUUUAUAUACGAAGACAUGAUAGUCAUUGAAUUUCAAGCUAAUUUUAUUAUGUCCACAACCCACUAUUUCCCAACUGAGUUCAAGCUGUUAACAUGUAGGGAUUAUAAAGAUAAAGCAAAUACUCAAGUUUAAUACUUAACCUGUAAAAGCAUUGAUGCCUUGGCACACAGCACAGCAUUACACAUUGAAAAUUCGUUUGUGAAACCAUAGUUUUUGACAAGGAUGGUCACAUCAUCUGCGCCGUCAUUACUGGCAGCUGACCACCCCUCAUCGGCAAAGCCAUUAAUAGCUUCGCUGAAACCCCUGCAUUUAAAUUAUAUGAAAUCAUAAAACAAUGUCCCUAAAACAGAAGAACAAAGAUAACUACAAGAAUAAGCAGAUGUUCUCACCGGCCUAGUCUCUGGCUAAGUGCUCUUAGGGCUGCAGGUCGCCUACCCCACCCUGUAGCAAUAGAAUGCGAACCUUCAUGUGCAAUCUGCCUAAGAUGGCGUAAAGCCUGAAAGAAUGAAAUGAUAUGAGAAGACAAUUUGGUGUCCACCUAACGGAUCACUUGACUUCAAGUUCACCAUUUGACAGCUUAACAUCAAAAAGGAAUCAUCCAAUUCUAACAAGUUAUACUACCAUUGUAGAAUUAACUAGAAGAUAUGUUACUAACCGUCAUAGUCGUCCUUUGAGCAAGCAUAGUGGAUGAUUCGUACAGUGGUCGUAUAACUUCAGGGAUGCUCCAAGGCUAAUGCACGCAGAAAUAACUAAGCUUCAGCAAUCAAGUAUACUUAAAAAGUAUAUCGAAUCCAUCUUGAAACAAAGUAGAAACUUCCAAAAUGUUUAUACCUCCAAAUCCAUAUGAUAAACAAUGUGUAUAACAGAGCCACCAUCAUCACAGGGUCUUAUAAGGUAGCCGCUAGGAAGCAUUUCCGCCCUGACAAAAGGCUGCACAGAUGGCAUUGUUGGACCGCCUUGUGUGUUAUUAAGUGAUCUUUCACAGACCUGCGGAUAAAUAAAAGACGGACUUCAAAUUCUUAGGCACAGGUUAAGUUUGGAAAUAAUUUCUUUUUGUCACUGAGUUACUCCACUAUCCCAAGAUGACUGGGAACAAGUGAGUUUUAUCUUUGUUUUGACUUAGGAAGAUGAUUCUAUUGAUUGCAAAGAUAACUAUAUGAUGGUGCACAACUAUUAACUAUUAUAGGCAAUAGCUGAGCUGCAGAUAUUGGCCAUGAAUCCUGAAAAGGUAAACUGUCUAAACUUACCACAAGGCUUCCAUCUUCAAGAACUGAUGUAUAGCGCAUCAACCACAAGUCACGAGCAGGAGCCAGUGUUGUUGGAGCAUAUAGCUAUAACCAACCCAUAUAGCUCAGUUAAAACACUCAAACUUUUAAUUAAAAUACCAAAGUCAAGCACAUUAAACUAGUCAACAAUAGCUACCUGCAUGUAAAGCAGUUCAACGGUUCCAUUAUUUCCAGUGGUCAGUACACUCACAACAUCCACCGACCGACAGUCACGAGACCAUGACGGUUGGUCUUUGAGGAAUUCUACAACCUGAAAACUCCAAAAGUAUCCAAACAUUUAUAGUAAGAAAUAUUAAAUUAGACAUCAAGUACCUAGAGGACAUGCUUAGUUUGAAUUAGAAGAUAACAACUGGAUACUUAGAGCUCACCUUUGCAGGUUCGAUGCCAACAAGGCCGCAAGCUCGUGCUGCCACACCAGCGCAACCAUGUGAGAUAGCAACGAUUCCAAUGGAAUCCGGACCAGGCUACAAAAUAUCGAGUUACACGUCGAGGCGGUAAGCAUGCAUGAAAUGACUAAGAAGCAAAUCAAUUAGUAGAACAGAAAAUGAACCUUUUUUUGUAAGAAAGAAAAUGAAUCUAUAAUAUGGAGGAUCUACUGAUGAAUGGAAACACCAUGGCUAUCAAUAUGAUUUUGUUUUAUCGUCAAACGAUUUGUUAAUUUCACUUCCAAACACUGAAGAAUAGAGAAAAGAGGUGUGAACCUUCAUCCCAGGCAUUUGGACCCACUCAACAGCAGUUCCAGUGGCCUUUGAUAGAAACUCUGCUAAUGUUUCCUCCGCUAUAGACAAAAGUCUACAUUAAAAAUUGUAACACAUAAGCAAUACAGCAAACAAGUAUACAUGAAAAUGUAAAUUUUAAAAAAAAGGAAAAAGGAAAAAGGAAAAAACAUAGAACAAACACAAGAUUGAAGUGCUGUCAACCAUCUCUACAUACCCAGCAGGGCUAGCAUCUCGUGGUGGGUGUUGGGGUGUCAAAUGGUGUCGAGAACUUGUCACCACAGAAUCACAGCUUGUGUCUGUAGUCGUAAUAGCAGCCUACAAUUCAAACAUAAAUCGGAAGACAUCAUAUACAAAAGCAAGAAGAAUACUAAAGCUCGAGUAAGAUCUGUUACCCAUCAAAGGCUUAACGCUUACAUUCUGAGUCUGCUGUCGAAAGUAGCUGUUCUCAUAAACCAACUGAGAAACCUGCUUCUGCAAACGAUCGUUCUCCUCCAUCAACAGCUUGUUCAUCGCAGUUAGCUUCCUAUUCACGGCCUGAAGCCGGAACGAUUCCUUCCGCUGUUUCUCCCUGCACCUAUAAGAGAGAUAACAAAGCCAAACACUUUUUAAACAGUCAAAACAAACAUUUAACUAUAAGAAGCCAAAAACCGGAAAAAAGUAAUUCACCUCCUAUUCUGAAACCAAACUUUAAUCUGUUUAGGCUCUAUGUUAGAGAGAAUAGGGCACUCUCUGAUCAGCUGCUGCCGCCGCAUCGAGCUCGGUUUUGGGCACUCAUGGUAGAGCCUCUCUAGCGCCUCGACCUGCUCCGGCGUAUAGCGUACGUACUUCCCAGGAUCCAUACCACCCUUCCCUUCCUUGCAAGAAGACACAACCAUCAUCCUCUUCACUACAAAGCUCCUUACACAGAUGCCGCAAAACCAACUUUGUGAAUUCAAACUCGGUUAUCGAAAACUACCCAAAGCUGCAAUUUUUUUCUCCUUUUUACCAUUCGCGGCACAACAGAGGUCGGGUUCCUUUUAAACUCUUCAACAAUUAAGGGAAUUUGAGGGUUUCUUCUUCUCCGGAAUAUCGGUUUCCUUUACCUCAAAUACGUAGACAACAGCAAACACAAGAAAGACCGGGUCUUCGAGAUCGGAGAUAUAAAUGAAGAUUAAAACCCUUCCAGAGACUCUCCUUGCAGGGUUAACAAUAUAUAAAACAGUGCGACGAGCGCGAAACCCUCAAAUAAAUAGAAAGCUUUAUCAGCAGAUGCCUUUGAAGAUUCCAAGCUAAGCUUUUUCUUUAUUUUUUUUUUUCCUUUAUAAAAAUUUUAGCUUUUUCUUUUCUCUUCUAUUGAGGAAUCUCCUUUUCCUCUCUUUAAAAUAUUUUAAGCCAAAACAUUCCGCUCCAUCUGUGAGUUCUCGUUCUCCGAAGCUACAUACGGAGGAAGCGAGACGCGAUUCGAACAACAAUAGUACAUGUACACAUAUAUAUUUUUAUAGAAAAAAACAAACCCAGUACAACUCAGCCGAACUCGGCGGUUCGAAUCGGAGGCGCUCCGAUUCGUUCGAAAACCGAACAGCAAAGCCGAUAAAGGCGAUUCCUCUACAAAUGGAGCUCGAUUAAAGCCCCUGACGCAGGGAUCUCGCCAAAUCCGCAGCUUUUCCUCCGAUCGGCGCCGAAAAAUCGGUCUCCAUUACAACAAACAGUGGAUGGAACAGCGGAAACGAAAGAGAUCGGGUGUUAACGACCGAUCCGAUUCGUACGCAGGGUACCGAUUUUGCUCCUCACAUCGCAACAGCGAUCCCCUGGUACGUCCGUGAUCAGAUCCGCGGAUUCGAGUCUUUCUAGGGUUUCGCGAAUCCGGAAGGAUAGAUCGACACCGAGCGAUAGAGGAUUCCGCUCCUCUUCUCUUCGUGAUCCGAGGCGAAGCGGAGAGAGUGUAGCUGCUAGGGUUUUGGUUUCGGAUCCCCGCGACUCGAUUCACGCCAUGGGAGCUGAACCAAGAACUCUCCCUCUCUCACUCUCACUCACUCUCUCUCUCUCUCUCUCUCUCUCUCGUGACUCCAUGUGGUUAGUGAUUACUACCGUCGUGUGUGGUUUAUAUAGGUGAGCUCUUAUGACGAUAAUACCCUUGCCCUGGUUCAGGAAUUUCGCUUCCCCUUCCCAGCACAAAAGGCUUUUUUUGGGAUAGAUUUUAUUUAUUCUUAACUAAUUUUGCUGUUGUGUUUGUCAUAAUAAACUAUUUAAAGUACAAUUUUUAUGGUGCAAUCGGAAAUGAAUAAGUAUAUAUUUUGUCCUAUUCGAUCAAAGUCCAAACUAGUCUCUGUUCAAUAAUUUUAGUUAAUUUUAAAAAAAUAAAAAAUAUUAGACAUAUGUAUUCUAUAAAUUCAAUAUGUGAAAAAAUUACAUGCAUUUGGGAUGAAUUAAUUAGUCAAGAGAAAACAAAAAAUAAUAAAAUUUAAACGGUUAAAAUUAUAUUAUCAAUAUUCAAGAAAUUAAUAGCAUCUCAUACAAAUUCUGAAAAAGAAUAUAAAACCCUACUUCAACAACCAUUUUUUUAGAAAGAGAAAAAUAACAUGAUAUUUAUUUUUAUUUAUUUUUAAAAAUUAAAUUUAAUAAAAAAUAAUUAAUUUUUAAAUUUAAAAAUUUAAGUAUCAAAUCUUAAAUAUUUAGCCAACUUCAAUAGAUUUUUGGAGUGAGAAUAGAUUAUAAAGGUGUAUUUGUGCACAGUGGUAGAAACGUAGUUUUGUUGAAACUUGGGGGCAUAUGUGGGACUAGGGAGGGGGCGUCGCGACGCGUGUUAAGCAAAAUUUAAAAAAAAAAAACUUCAAAUACCACCCUAUAGAUUCGUAUUUUUUCACUUUAACACUCUAUAGUUUAAAAUGUAUCAAUUUAGUAACUCAGUACCUACGUUAAGGGCCUGUUUGUUUCGAGGGAAGUGGGGUGGAAGUGGGACGGGGGAAGUGAUUUUCGGUGAAAACUGACCACUUCCGUUGUUUGGUUCACCGUAAUUUUAUUACGCCCGAAAGUCCAGUUCACGUAAAAUAAUGAACUUGACUUCGCCCUCCCAUGGGGCGAAGUCAAUUCCGGUGAAGUGAAAAAAAGGCAAGAAUGGAUUAAUGUGUUAGGGUUACCUCUUCUAAAAUAUGAUCAAGUUUGAUUAGGUAAGCUUUAAUAUAUUUUUUGUUUAAUUUGUACAUUUAGAAAAUGAUGAAAAAUGAAUUUGUUAAAUGUUAAUAAUUUUUUAACUUUAGAAUUUUAUUUGUUGCAUUAUUAUAAUUUAUAUGCAAACAAAUAAUAUAAUUUUUUAAAAUUUUAUUUUAUAAUUAUACAUAUAUAUAAUUAUAUACAUAUAUAAUUAUAUUAAUUUUAUUUAUUAUAAUUUAUUAUUCACUAUAAGUUACAAAAUAGACAAUAAUAUCACUUUAAAGGUAAGUAUACCGGGGGUGGACAGCUACACUUUUUACGUCAUCUACUUCCUACCAAACAAACAACAGAACUCACAGAACUGCACUUCCACAGUUAGAAACAAACAGCAGAAGUGAAGUAAUUUUCACCCCAACUCCACUUCAACUCAAAGUCCACUUCCACCCCAAGUCUACUUACGUUGAAACAAACAUACCCUAACUUUUUGUUAAAUUAUAUAUAAAAACUUCAUAUACCAUACUUAUAGUCUAUCGAAUAUUUACUUUAAUACUCUUUAAUUUUAACUUUAUUACUGGUUUAAUAAAAAAAUUAAUAAAAUAAAUAAAUAAAUAGAAUUACAGAGUAUAAAUAUAAUAUAUUUUAAAUCAUAGGAUACUAAAAUAAAAAAAAUAAGAAACAUCGAAAGUGAUAUUUAAAGUAAAAAAAAAAGAAAAGAAAAAGAGGAUCGGUUGGCGUGGCUCGGGUGCGUGGCUCAGAGAGGACAGAAUUAUGAUAGUUUUGGCAUGCGUCUCGGUCUCUUCAUCCUCCUCUGCUAAUUUAAUUAUUUAAUUAUUUAAUAUAUUUAAUCUUUACUCACAUGAGAAUUAUUAAUAAUUUCCACCAUAAAAUUGUGUUACAUGAUGUAUGCAACCAAGGUGGGUGCAUGCAUGACACACAAAUAUAUUAUAUAGCAUGCAUGAUUUAGCAUGUAUGAUGAGGUUGGUGUCCUUCGCGUAUGAAAGAAAUAACUUUGGAUUAAAGAAAAAAAAUAAAAUAAAUCUUUUUUUGAGUGAAAGACAGAUAAUUACUGGCUUUUUUUUUAGAAAAAAUAAAUUCAGUUAAAAAUAUGAAACAGUCCAAAUUCAAAAUCUAAUUAUUAUAAAUAAAUUUUAAAUUAAAUUUGUUUUUUAAAAAAUAAUAAAGUAGUAUACUAUCUUUAUCUUAACGGAUAAAUAGUUUAUGUAAUUAUUUAAAUUAUGUAUAUCAAUCAUGCAUUUUUUUUUUUUUUGAAAGAUAGAUAGCACGUUAUCCGCUUCGUUUAUUUCAUUUAGAAAUAAACUUAGCUGGAAAUGUGAAUCAACUAGGAUUCGAACUUGGGUCUCGGGUACCAACUACAAAACCUUUUGCAACUUGCUCUAGGGACGGUUGGAAAUGCAAAUUUUUUUUUAAUAUUGUGUAUAUUAAAACAUCAAUAAUUUUUAAAGACAAUGUAUUAGAAAACUUAUAAUGUGCUCUUAUAGGAGUAACACUCACCCGUCCCUAUCCACAUGUAUGGGCGAAAACAUGUAUACUAUUUAUAGCAUUGAUGUUGAUUAUUAAUAAAUAGAUUCAGUAAGUCACCAUAAUAAAAAGUCUUUUGAGUAAUAUUAAUGUGACAUGUAAGAUAGUAAAAAGUAUAAACAACUAAGAGUAAAUGAUGAUUUUAUAUUCCAAUAAAACUUAAAAAUAUUUUAUUUUUGUAGUAGUUACUUUAUAUAAAAUAAUUGUAAUUAAGCAAUCUUUUUUUUACCGUAAUAUAUAUAUAUAUAUUAAAUUCGACUCCAUGCUUGCUCAUAAAUCUCGCAUUAAUUUACUAGAGAAAUAAAACAUUGAUGGAAAAUUUUAAAAAAUAAUAAUAAAAUAAAGACAACUGUAACGAGCAGCUUUUUUUUUUCACGUAAUAGUGGGAUGAUGGACACCUGAACCAUAUAAGACUCACGGUGUAUAGUCCAAAAAUGUGAUGUGAUGGAAAUGGAUUCGGAUCUCUGAUUACAUACUGUACCCGUGUACCGUAUGUAUAUAACUUUUAGUCUAAUCAAAUCAAUAGUGUUACAUUUGUGAACUUAUAUGGAUGCAACGUCCAAUUUGGACGGCUAUGAUUGAUCCAUCCUAAAUUUGGUGGGUUAGAUUUUAAGAUUCAUGGAUUGGUAUCUCUCGUGCAUCCACAGUAUCUAAAGUGCGCCAAUAAUUGUGCCAAUGCAUGCAACAGCUGUACUGCGGGGCUUGAACGGCUCAGAUCUGUGGGAGUGUACCGUAGGAGGCCGUACGCGAUGAAGUAACAACGAAGUGCACGAAUGUGAUAGAUUCUAUCUUAUGGGCCAUGGUGGUGGUGGUGGUGGUGGUAUAUAGAUGUACUAGAGCUGGCACAGUUUACUAGUAAUCACGUAUAUGCAUAAAACUUAAUUUUCGCAGGUCAAAUUAAUAUUGCUCGUGAAAAAACAAAAGAUUUAUAUAUGUAGAUGCGUCGUAUUAUAAUUGUUAGCAUCCUAAUACCAUAUAAGUAUAAUGUCUCAGAGAAAAUUAAGAGUAUCUAACAAUAUAUGCUUGUUCUCGAUCAGAAUAUAUCAUAUCUUAUAUUUUUUAUUUUAUUUUUUUGUCUGAAGUGGUAGGAUAUGACACAUUUUCUAUAGAAAAGAUUUUGAUUCUAGCCAUCGUAAGUAAAUGAUUUAAGACUUUAUUGCGAUGGAAUUUCUGAGUCUUCGAAUAUUUACGGACAAAGAUGAAAAAAAAAGACAAAAAUAAGGAUUCUGAAAGGUUAAGCUAUAUAUUCAGCGGCUAAUAAGUUAACUAUUUAUGAUAAACUCAUCUAUUUCUCAGCGGCUAAUAAGUUAACUAUUUAUGAUAAACUCAUCUAUUUCAUUUUUGAAGUGAAUGAUUGAGGUUGUUCCCUAAUUGAAGGCUAAUGUGGUAUGUGCUAAAUAUAUAUUUCAUUCGACCAAUAAUCACAGCACAGUGUUAUAACUUUUUUAUUUAAUGAUAUUCUUUUAUUGAUUAUCCUCAAGCAUGAAGAUGUCAUGCAUGUGCAUGCCACAUAAAAAUUAAUCCGAUCUUUGAUUAUUAAUUAAUAUUUUAAAUUAUUAAUUUAUAUUUUUAUUUGAUGCGAAGCUCAUUAGUGGAGUGACACGUGGCCCCACCAGUGGGCCCCAUUACAAUGAUAUGUAACUGUUACAGGGAAGGCUCCGCUUUGGGCAAGCGGAGGAAACCGCCAUGCGGAUUCGGGCGAGGGAGGAGACAAGCGGAUCCUGUCACCGCAGUCUCAGGAAAGAAUAUGGUGGGCCCCCCACGCACCCCUGGAACUCCUUGAAUGAGGAGCAUCUCACAAUUUUCUUAUUUAUUUAAUUAUUUCUUUUGAUAUUUUGUUACAUGAAUGAUAUUUUUAAACUGCACGUAAAAUCAAAUUAAAUCUUUACACUUUUACAUUUCUUAAAAAAAAAAAUCUUUACACUUACUAGUACUUACUUAUUUUUAAUAAAUGCAAGAUAAAUUUAUAUGAUUUUAUCAGAUUGAAACAGCGAUAGUAAUAAAAAAUAAAUAGUUGAACAGCAAUAUCGAUAAAAUUACUGUGAGGAAGUGAUGAGUAACAACCACAUCAUAAUUAACACAAUGGAAUUACCUAAAUCUAAUCACAUUUAAUUUUUUUCAAAUAAAUAAUCAAAUUUGAUAUCCUAAUUUGUUAAUACCAAUGUUACAUUUUAUUUAUUCAGGCCAAUUUUUUUUUGUCGCGUAGUUUAUUGAUUACUAUUUUUGUAUAUAUAUUAUAAAAUUAUAUUGGGAAAUAAAAAAAAAUUGUAAAAAAGUACAGGAUCAUUUAUUAUUUUUACGAGGAGAAUAAAGUUAGAUUAAUAAUAAAAUAUGUAUUAAAAUUAAAAUAAUAGAACGCCACAAUGCCUUUUAAUUUUUUUUUAAAAAAAGAAAAAAAGCGAUAGGUGGGACCCACGAGCGGCGGAGUAGCAAAAAGUGGGAACUUGUCCUCUGCGUGCGCUGGACAGUGACGUGUCACUUCGCUCCAUCCAACGAAUAUGCGCCCCCCGCCCCCCCUCCCCUGUUUCCUUUUUCUUUUUUUUUUAAAUAAUUUCAAGAUAAAUUUAAUUUAAUGCCACCACUCUCGGCUUUAUUAAAUAUUUUACUUACAUUUAUUGCGGCAUAUUUUAAUGCGCACUAAGCUAUCAUGUUACCGCAACAUAUCUGUAAAUAUCAAUCUAAUAAAAAGCGAGUUAAAAAUAGUUUUUUUUUUAUUUUUUAAGAGAUAGAUAAUACGCUACUCGCAUCGUUUAUUUCAUUUAGAAAUAAAUUUAGCUGAAAAUAUGAAUGAACUAGAAUUCGAAUUUGCGAUCUCGGGUACCAACCACUAAACCCUUUGCCGCUUGCUCUAAAAACGGUCGGUGGUUAAAAUUAGUUUUAAUACUUUCGCACACAUGUAUAGUGAAUGUUGGGUGGUUUUAAUUCAACACCGAUAUCAUAUUUUUCUAAAAAAUUCAUUAAAUUGAUAAUGGCUCGAGAUUUGUCUUAAAAGUUUCAUAAAGGAUCUAGAUUUGGGACCUAUUUCACAUUUUGUAAAAUGUGAGUUAUUGUGUAAAUCAAAUUCGGCCUUUUGGACUCGAAAUUUAAUUUCGGCUUCGCACUGUAAUGAAUAUUCCAUGCAAUGCCUAGAUUGAGAUCUGAACAUACUAAGCCAUAAAUAAAUCUAUAUAUAUCUAAGUUGGAUUUGGAUUAAAUUUACGACUUAUUAAGGUCUCAUUUGGUAUCCUACUAUCCUGUAUGUUUUAAAUUUGUUUAAAAAUAAAAUUUUUUAUAUACGAAAAGGUGAAGUGGACUGCCGAUUGCUUGCAAUCUUUUUAUAUAAAAUAUUAUUUGACAAUAAAUUAAAAAUAAAAUUUUGAAAAUAAUUUUUUUUUGCUUCCAAUUUUUUUAAAAAAUAAGUCGUCAUCUACCAUUUGACACAAAAAAAGAGUAUUUUUUCUAACCCAUCAAAUUAUAUAGAAUUAAUAUAAGAAAAUAACAACGAUACCAAACAAGGCCUAAGAUUUUUGAUCAAACACUCUUCAAAUUAAAUUAUAUAUUUUCUUCGUAUUAUUGUUAUAAUUUAAUAUAACAAAGACGGCGGUGACAGCGGCCGCGCCGCGGUGGCGGUGGUGGUGGGGUUAGAGACCAGUGGUGGUGCACUUAGCCGGAAAAAAGGAAAAAAUUUGGUGCAUCUUUUAUAAUUUAGGUAGGCCCAUUUUAAACAUAACAAAAUAAGAUAAGCUUGUUUAUGCGCAAGGAGUCCUAGUCCUAAAUGAGCACCACAAUCCCACUAACACCCCCCACUUUUAGCACCAACUCUUUCAUUUCUUAGUUAACAUAAAGUGUUUCCUCUAUGGAUUGUAAAAGUUUAAUGUGAAACCCACCAUUUCCAAAGAUUGGAGAAUUUGAACGAUUAAGGUCUCGUUUGGAAUUAUAACAAUUUUUUCUAUGUUUGUUAAAUUUGUUUAGCAAUAGAAACUGAAAAAUUUAUGGCCAUUCACAUCUCUUUCUUUGAUAGUGCUAGUUUCUACUUGACGGAGAUGUUUCGCAAGUGAACCAUCAAUCGAUCUGAUAAAGAGUUCGAUCUGAUAGCGUGUAGGGUCCGUUUGCUUUGCUGCAAUCGUCUUGUCCAAACUCUCACGAGUUACGCAAACUUUGCGGAGCUCACCGACGUUCGUGGGAUAUAUUUGUGCAGGUCAGAGCAAAGCGCAGAGUUCGAUCGCAUGAUCCAAAAAAAACGGAGUUCUUCGAGUUUAGGACACUGCACUUUUGCCUUGGAGUUCAAGGAAAACAACCGACAUUGUGAAGUUACCGACCGUCCCUAGCGCAAGUGUUAAAAGGUUUGGUGGUUGAUAUCCGAGGUCCCAAGUUCGAAUCCUAGUUGAUUCACAUUUCCAGCUAAGUUUAUUUCUAAAUAAAAUAAACGAAGCGGGUAGCAUACUACCUAUCUCUCAAAAAAAAGACACUGCGAAGUUGUUCUUACCCUUGAAUGCAGCAGCCUAAUGCGUUUUCCAUAGAACUGUAAAUGGACCUGAUCAUGAUGGUCCAGCUAGAGGCCCAGCUCUGUUCUGAGCACAAACUCAUGCUAAAUCGUUUCAUGAUGAGUUAGGCUGUAAAUGUGAAACAUUAAGUAAGAGAAUUUAUUAUUUCGUAACUUAAGCUUUUGUAGAUAAAUAGCUGUUUCCUACGAGAUUUGGCUAUUAAAAGGAGGUAGGUGAAACCUUAAUUUGAGGCUUUUUAACAAUCAGAAAAAUAAGUGGGACACGCUCUCAAAUAGUUAUUACUCCAUCAAUACUUUACAAAAGCUUAAGGUUAGUAUCUUGGCAUUAAGGUUAGUAUCUUCCAAAAAAUUAGGCAGGAUAGAUAUCGGAAAUUUUCGAAAAUAAGACUCGAGAGGUGGACAAGUUCUUUAUUUCUUUCACCAGCAUUAUGAUUUUUUUUUUUUUUUUUUUUCGAGUUUCAACUAGAGAGAAACUACAUAUAUACAAACUACUCCUGGGAUCAUAACCUGCGCGUUCAACUCAAACCCAUUGUUAUUAUCCUCCACAUGAUCCCUCCACAGCCUCAUCGUCGGCGUUCAUAUUCUCCGUCUCCUCCUCCUCGCUAACAUAAGCUGAGAGGUUGAUGUAGCGGUUGCGUUCCCUCCGCUCCCUCCAUCGCGCCCUGCACACCACGCAGCUCGCCGCCCUCCUCCCCCGGCUCCUCUUCCACCUCGUCAUGCACUCCCCGUGCACCCAGUUCCCGCACGCGCUGCACACGGCCACCUCCUUCCCGUCUCCUCCAUCCCCCGCCCCCAUCUCCUCCAAACACACCGGGCACGUCCCCCCUCCGUCCCUCGCGCGGACCGUGUCGCCCUCCCCGUCCCCGGCCGCUGCGGGACGCCGCCCGGAGAAGAGCUCGUGGAACCUCGCGCGUGCCCGGGCACCGGCGAGGACGCCGGGCGCUGUUGGGGCCGCCAGGAGCCGUGCCAGCUGGCAUGGCCGCAGCUGGCGGCGCCAGACGCACGCGUCGUUGAAGGAGAGGCCGAGGACACGGAGGAGGACGAAGAGGACGUGCUUGCACGGGACGGGGGCGCGGUCCGGGCAAGUGCAGGAGGGGGCGGGGGCGGAGAGGGUGACGGCGUAGACGUUGCCGGUGGCGCCGAGGACGAAGAAGUCAGGGCCGACGCGGUGGAGGAGGCGGAGGCGGUGGCGGAGGGCGCGGACGAUGCGGUCAGCGACCUGCUGGGCCGGAUCAGCGUAGCGGGUGGGCUGCGGUGGGGAGUUGGAUCCGACGGACUCCAUGGGUUGGGUGUGCAGGUGUGACUGCGGUGGGUUGGGGUGUUUUCUGUAACAGAGGAGGAGGGAUGGUUGUGGAAGAAGAGGGGGAAUGGGAUGCGUUGAGUGCUGUGGAAGAAGGAAGGAUGGAGUACGGGCGAGGAGUGGCGGUUGAUUAACGGGCGGGAAAGGGAGAGUAGAUAUGCCAAGUAACUUUGGGCUCAAGCCAACUGUGGCUUCGAACCCAAACCCAUUGCUGACGAUCAGUCUCCGGAUUACGUCAAAGAUGGGUCGGAUGAUAAGAUCCCUUCGGAUCACCAUUCCAUCCAAUGAGUUACACGCUAUUUAAAAUCCAGCUUGCCACAACACGCACGAAUUGAAAAAAGAAAAAAAGAAAAAAAGAAAAAAAGCAAAAAAAAGAAAAAGCAAAAUCGUAAUAGUUAAUCAACUCACGUUCGUCACUUCCUAUAUGAUUUCCCUGAUACACUGUUAUGUCCAACUACAUAAAAUAUGUUGUAAAUAAAGACAACAUUUCAGAUAUCCAAAUCCACAAGAGUUAAAAGCAAUUAUGUUUCAAAGGCUAGUAUUUGAUCUGAAAAUGGAAAAGAUUAAUGGAAACAGACCACCAUCAAGCCUACAACCAGGUAAUUUUCAUCGAACUCCGGAUAUGGUAAAACAAGCCGAUAAAAAGGUUCACAACAUUAACAUAUAAUUGCAGCAAAUACCAAAAGAAAACAAAAAAACACCCAAGGCAAAACAGGACGAUCCAACUUGACAAAAUUGGUUGCAAAAAAGUGUUUUUGGCAGCUACAAUACCCGAAUUCGUAACAUGUAAAUAUUUUUCCUUUUCAAGGGAAAAUAAAUAGGAAGUUACAGAGAUACCUAGAUUGCCCCGACUACAAUUAAAGCUGCACUCUUAUGAAAAAUAGCUGACAAAAGACGGGGAAAAGAGGAGAUCAUAUUGUAGGGGAAGAGAGACCUAAGCUCCAUUAGCCACGGUAAGAAAUCUAUUAUCGAGGCGCGCUAAGACCUGUUUCUGAAAGAAAUUCAAAGAAAAUUGUUAAGCUUAAUUUUCUAAAAGUUUUCCACUAACCACAAAAUCACAUAUAGGACGGAAAAGAAAACAAAAAAGAAAAGAAUAUAAAUGUGCUGAAUCAUGCAAUUCAUACAAGGAAAAAGUGAAUUGAGUAUUGGAAUUUUGGUACUCACAAUCUAGUUCCAUAGAAGGAAGAGAAUUAGGUAGCAUAUCACAUAUUCUCUCAAAAUUGGAUGAUGCCACGUAAUUCAUGAAGGAUGGAAAUCAACGACGAUACAUUAAAAGAGCAUGAAGCAUGCUUUCAAUACUAUUCACAAUUAUUAGAAUGUAGGGAUGCACUUAAGGGGUCAAAGGGUCAAACACACUGGAUGGUGUUUACAUUGUGUAUGUGUGCUUUGCCCUGAAGGGCAUAUAACCUGGUAUUUAGUCACUGCAGAAAAACUAGAAUUUCUUACACUAAUUAAUCCCCCUCGAACAAGGAUGCGGAAUUGCCUGCACUUAUUAUAAUUGUCAGUGAACAGCUAAACAAAGAGAUACUCAAGUGUAUGUUUGAAGAACUUAUUUGCUGAUACAUCAGGAUCAAAUAUUUACUAAAUAUUUUCAUUAUCUAAUUACUUCAGCUUUUGAUACGCAGACAAAAAUGGCAAGAGUAGUUUGGGAGGCCAGAGUUGGCAGAUUAAGCUAGCUCAAUGUUGCCAAGUUUGACUAGCUGAUUAAGUUCAGUAUGAUAUCAACACCAGAAAAUGAAGCACGCAAUUAAGGGCACAAGCAGCAAGAACCAGGUUGAUUGAGAUUGAAUAUCCAGUAUUUUUGACUUGCAAGGCGUCAAUAAAAGGAAAGUAAUCAUAUAAAUUACUUACUUAGCUCCUUGUUUAUAACUAUACUCGUAUUCUAGGGGAUCAUACAAGGUUGAGUGUAUUGUCAACUGUGGGGCGGGAUAUUAUAUAAGUUGUAUUUUGGGUUAUGGGCAAAGAUAAGCUAUGAUGGUGUCAACAUGUCCGUUCACUGGUCGUUUCAUCAUAAGAAACACCAUAAAUGAUAAAAAUUAUCAGUGUAAUCAGCAAAUAUUACUGUCUUUUCUGUUGGCAAUAUGCAUUACACAACCAAUACAAACAUUCUUGGUGUUAAGUUUGCCGAAAUAUAAAUAUGAGCCCUAAACCUGUCCAAACAUAACUUCAAUAAUGAGAUUUUAAAAUGCAGAAAGAGUAUUCUUUGCAGUAAAAUAAAUUAUUAUCACACUAACAUUACGAUUUGUAUCUUUUGACUUAGUUCCCAAUUACGUUUAACUUCGCAAAACCAGUGCUUACACUAGUUGCUUUUCGAAAUCUCUCGGUAGAUAAAGACCUAAUUUUUAUUCUCUUUUUCCAAACAAUUAAACUCAUGACAUUAUGAGAAUAUAGAUCACAACCAUAAUUCCAAUCAACAGGUCAAUUAUCACCCUUGCAUCCAUAACCAAUCAAUUUGUCAACCCCAGCAUGACCGAACAUUGUAGGUGUAAUCCUAAGAUAACAAGAGCGUACUAAGCAGUGUACUCAUUCAAAUGAAGGAACUAAAAUGGGAGGGGAACCGAAAGAUCCAGUGGCUUACUCAACAAAAGAAACAAAACAAUUGGAGAUCAGACUCCUGGAUUCGAGCUGCAGAGCGUACCCUGCGACAGAGAUCUCGAGCUCCCCGCGGAGUCGAUCCCGAGGCGCGACGUGAGCCGAGCCGACGACACCACGCUGUGGAGCGGAAGCAACGAUUGGAGGGUACCCAGUCGCGGCGAAACCCUGAGAGAACGGAGAUCGAACCCUUGAAUGAGACCUCAACAGAUCAAAAAGGGGGAAGUGGAGAAGCUGAGAGGAGUUUGAGUUACCUCGUGAAGGGAGGCGGAGGAGCACGAGCAAGGGGAGCGGUGGGGGAGAGGAGGGGGCGGCUAGGGUUUCGGGAGGCGUGGGAGAGGAAGGAGGCGACGGGGCGAGAGAUCGAGCGGAGGCGCGACGCCAUGGAUGUGGGAGAGGGAGAGGGCCAAGGAACGACGCAAAGGAGGUUUUAGCGCGGAGAGAAUAAAAACCCUAGAUGGUUAUAAAUGAUGAACUCGGCUUCGGCGUGAAGUCGGCGUUGGUAUCUGAUUGGCACAAGCAAAGUCGGCGUUGAGUUGCCCUACUAAGUUUGAAGGAACUAUUCGGUUGGUUGGGCUCGAGCCAAGCCAACGAGCCAACAUCGAGCUAGCUUAGAAUUGCGUGACUGAGCUCGAGCUUGGCGUUUCCCCUAAAUCUAAUACAGCCCGAACUCUAUCACUAUUUCGAGUCAAAGUACGGUUAGUUAACAAGAGCUAUUCAGCUCAGCUAAUUGAAAUAAAAGAUGAGAUGAAAGCAAUACAUGUCAAUAGGCACGUCUAUAGUUGAUCUGGUGGAUUGGUUUCUCUCUUUGGAACUACACUAGAGUUCUAUUAAUAGCACCAAAUCUCGAAUUAAGUGAAUAAUUGGUUGAAUUAUAUGAUCUAACUGAAGAUAGCCAAAAUAUUAGAUCUACGAAAAAUAUAAUAGCACCACUUGGUGCUAUGGAUAGUAAUGUAGCCGAACUCUUUUUUUGAAUUAUUACAAUAUUAUUACAAUGUUACAACUUAAAUUAUAAUUUUUUUUUAUCAUUUUUUAAAAAAUAUUUUAGACUUUUUAUAUUUUAUAUAAGUAAUAUGUUUUGAAUUUUUAUGUCAAACAGUGCGAGGGACAUAAUGGAUUAAUUGUAGUCUUUACAUUUAAGGUAUUUAUUUGAGAGCACAAGAAAAUAAAAAUUUUAAAAUUAUUUUUUUACGCUUUAAAAUAUUUUUAAAAGUGUUACCCAUCACUUAGUCGAAAUACAAUGUAAGUUAACUAACUAUGACAAAUUUUUCUACUAAUAUAUUAUACUAUACUAUAUAAAAUUAGUAUAUAAUAUAAUAAUUAAGAAAGUCCGACUAUGGUGCUUUGGAAAGCACCAAUCAUGUAGUGCUUCCAAUUUUUUAAUCUUUGAAGUAAUUUUUUUUGAACAUUUUUAAUUUUUGAAUUGAUAUUAUUCUCCUAAAAGGAUUGCUCAACUUUAGAGUAUCCACUAUCAUUCUAAUUUCAUAAUUUUUGAUACGAUGGUCAAAAAGCUAAAGCACUAACUAUUUUAUAUUUUCAAAAGAAUAAUAGCUCUAUACUAAUUAAGAUAUCAUAUUAUUUUAAUAUUCACAAAAUAUUAAUAAUCAAUUAAUUAAUUAAUUUAAUUAUAAUAAUUUAUAAAAAUUUGAAUUUAAAAUUAUAAUAAAUNUAAUAUAUUAUGCUAUACUAUAUAAAAUUAGUAUAUAAUAUAAUAAUUAAGAAAAUCCGACUAUGGUGCUUUGGAAGCACCAAUCAUGUAGUGCUUUUAAUUUUUUAAUCUUUGAAUUAAUAUUUUUGAACAUUCUUAACUUUUGAAUUGAUAUUAUUUUCCUAGGAGACCACUCAAUUUUAGGGGAUCCACUACCAUCGUAAUUUUAUAAUUUUUGAUACAAGGAAGCACUAACUAUUUUAUACUUUCAAAAAUAUAAUAAUAAAUUUAAAAUUUUAAUAAAUUUAAAAUUUUAAACCAAAAUAUUAUGUCAAUUUUUUUUGGAUUAACUAAAAAGUAUUAAUUUGGCUAAAAUACUAUCUUUGAAUAAAAUAAUAGAAAAUUUAUGUCUAUAUAUAUAUAUAUAUAUAUAUAUAUAUAUAUAUAUAUAGACAAAGGGAUAUGAAAUAUAUUUCUUGUUAUGAAAAAGUGACUCUCCAAUCUAUAUGUACACGUACUCUCCAACUAUAUAUACUUUUNCUUCCAUCUACGACGUGACAAACAAGGAUGUGGCGGUAAGUCGUUGCGAUGAGCAGGCAUUUAGGGGUUUUGCAUAUUUUUGGCCCCUUCCUUUCCCUGUCGCAGCAUCUCUGACCUUUUCGCCCAACCUCUUUCCUCUCGGCCAUGGACAACAAUCCGAGCAACGGAGACGAAGAGCCAAUGGAGGUGGAGGAGGAGGAGGAGGAGGAGGAGGAGGUGCGGUGCCUCGAUCUCACGAGCUACCAACUCCACGAUCUUGGCGAGGUCGAGAUACCCGAGAGCAUCGAGGAGCUGGACCUCACGGCCAAUCGGCUAUCCAAGCUCGAUCCCCGCAUCGCGCUUCUCUCUCACCUGAAGAAGCUCUCGCUCCGCCAAAACCUCUACGACGAUGAGGGGAUCGAGCCCCUAUCCCGCUGGGAUACGAUCUCCGGAUUGCAUGUAUGCCCUAAUCGCUGAAUCUCCUUACACGUUUCUUAUUUUGAUGAUUCGUUGCAGCAUUUGUGUGAUUGGAUAUGAAAACUUCGCAAUAUCGCAUUUAUCUCGCCGAAUCAGUCCGAUAAUUUCAAUAUUAGACUCAAAUCUGUUUGGAAUGGGCAACUUUCGUCUUAUCUUUGAUCCGACACGCAGGUUUAAUCUAGAAAAUUGUUGAAAUCUAUGAAAUAGGGUGUUCAUCGAACUAUGACAUGUGGUAUGCAUUGAACUAAUUAAGCUUUCUAAUUGCCCAAUGAUCACCUGGACCACAUAUAUACAGGAAUAUGUUGAGAUGUUUUAAUUUUCUUUACUUCUGCCAGUUUAAUUCUGUUGCAUAUGCAUUAUUAUGUACAUGUUAUUCGGUAAUGUAGAACUUGAUAUUCUAAGUGCUGAGUCGCAUGUCAACUCAUUUUGUAUGUGCAUAUCGCACCUUGAUAAAUAAGUAUUUACCCUAUCUUUCCUAUGGAGUGUAAAUGUAAUUGAGUUGUUUUAAGGUAUAUUAUGUUAAUCAAAGCAGACUAUUACUUAUCUGAAAGUUUUUUCCUGCAGGAGUUAGUUCUCAGGGAUAACAAACUCACAAAGAUACCUGACGUAAGCAUUUUUAAGAGUCUUCUUGUAUUUGAUGUCUCUUUCAAUGAGAUAUCUUCCUUAAAGGGUUUAUCCAAGGUUUCAAGCACGCUCAAGGAACUUUAUGUUUCAAAAAAUGAAGUUGCAAAAAUGGAGGAGCUUGAACAUCUCCAUGCAUUGGAGAUUCUUGAGCUUGGUUCCAACAAAUUAAGGGUGAGAUUUUGUUGAUAUUAUUAAUUUACUGCAUCAUUAGAAGGCUUCAGAUAUUUGGGUUUCAACUCUAGAACGAAAAAGCGAACCUUUAGCAAAGUAGUUUUUCUAUAACUGACAAUUCAUAGUCUUUGAAUAUGAAUGCGACAAAACAUUCCUGGUUCUUGAUGUCCCUCCUUAUUGCUUCUGAUUUUAUUUCAGACAAUGGAGAAUCUAGCCAACUUGACAAAUCUGCAUGAGUUGUGGUUAGGAAGAAACCGUAUCAAGACUGUUAACUUAUGUGGGCUGAAGUCUAUCAGAAAAUUAAGUUUGCAGAGCAACAGGUUGACGUCCAUGGCAGGGUUUGAAGUAUGUAAAACAGUGUAACCUCGUACUGCUAGUUAAUUCAUUGUUGGAGUUUUAUUUCUACUCAUGGUUCAUCAUUCUCAGGAAUGUAUUGCAUUGGAAGAACUAUAUCUGAGCCAUAAUGGUAUUCAGAAGAUGGAAGGCUUAUCCACCUUGCAGAACCUUCGUAUUUUGGAUGUUUCAUCUAAUAAGUUAACAGCUAUCAACGAUAUUGAUAAACUGACAAAGUAUAAAUCCCUGUCCUUCGUAUACUCACCCCCUCAACCGUUAAUUCUCUUUCCUUUUCUUAGUGCUUUUUAUUGCACUUUGCAGAUUAGUGGACUUGUGGUUGAAUGACAACCAAAUAGCAUCACUAGAAGGUCUGGAAGCUGCUGUAGCUGGCUCCAGGGAGAGCCUUACAACAAUCUAUCUCGAGCACAAUCCAUGUGUAUGUUGUUCUAAUCUUUUACAUGAACUGAUUUUGGUGUUUUAAUUGGAUUUUUUGAACUCUAUAUCCUUUAUUUAGGCAUUAAGGUAGCAUGUUUUCUCCUUAUAGGUUUAUUGCAACUUGCCCAUUUCAUUUUCUACUUAACCUUUGGCCACCUGCUUAAUUGUUAAAGACUUAUUGUAAGUGCCUGAAAAAUGCAAAUGUCAGCAGUCUUUUUAUUUUUUGUGGAUAUAUGGAUUUCAGCCUUUCAUAGGUGAGGUGAAAGGGUGUUUUGCUUUCCGUCUAUAUAUUCAUCACUUUCUUUGCUACAUGAGCUGCCCACUUCUUUUAUUUUAAAUUCACGAUUCUUUUCCAGAUGUUGAAUGUGUACUUCACAUUCUUCUUUUGUUAUAGUUUGCAAACUCUCACGCAUACUCGAUGAAUGGUUAAAAUAAAGUGUUGGUUGAUAGAAAGGUGAUUGUAUACAAUGCACGAACUACUAAUUAGAAAACCAACGACAAGUUGCUUUCUGGCUCCUCAAUGUAUUGUACUUUGUCCUUGAGGGCUAGUAAAUCUGCACACCUGUCUAUGUACAUGCGUAGGAUGCAGUGCUGCUACCUGUUCAUUCUUGUACUCUAGAAUCUAGGCUGGUGACUGCAUAACCCCAAACUGCAAUCUGCAUAUGCAUUGUUGUUUCAUGCGUGAUUUUGCUAACCAUUGGGUUUGAAUAUCAUAGGUAUUAAGUAGCUGGUAGGUUACGAACAGGUACAAAAAGGAGAAUGCCUUGUUUGAACCAGGAAAUGGCCUCUUGGAUCCACCACUGAGACAUGCGUGUAGUGUCCUUCGUUCAUGACCAAAUUCUAAGAGGGUUGGCAGUGCGCCAUAAUGUUGUUCUGUACCACGAACUUUUGAUUUCUUUCUAGUGAUUAUCUUGCAUUUCUGCAGCAUUGUUGCUCAUGGUUUCUCACUUGACUGAGAAGCUCUAGAGUUUUUCUGCCAAAAGCUGCCCCUCUGCCUCUUGAUUAGAGAAGUUGUUCUAAAAGCUCGGCCAAAUGUAUACUUUCUUAUGUAAACUGAUACUCUUAUCAAAACUAAUCUCUCAACAUUAUGCAUAAUUAACAAGCAACUUGAUUUUGCUGAUGUGUUUAAAAUAGCCAACAAAACCUUGUCUUAUGAUUUCUGAACUUACAAUGAUACCAUAAUUUGUGAUGGACGACAGUAAACAUUGUAUCGAUCUUUUCUUAUGAUCUAUGUUUUUUUGCAGGCUUCCUCUCCAAAUUAUACCUCUACUUUAAAGCAAAUAUUUCCAAAUAUUCAGCAAAUUGAUUCGGAUAUAUUGAUGUGAGCAAUCAAUUGAGCAUCUCAUGUGGCAGGCAAUAGAAAAUCAUGAGAUGGGAUGUUUCGAGAAAUGAGCUAAAGGGGUGGCAAUUAUCAAUUAAAAUCCGAACGAUCAAUCGUCUGUUGAGCAAUAUAUAUUCUCUGCUUUGGGAUACAGUUUUCAUGCUCCCAAAGUUUGUUAAUUGUUUACCUUUAUGACAGUUUCACUGAUCAAUCGUGUUAGCUUUGAGAUUAAAGCGUCUUGUAAGAGGAUAGAGAACUUUUGUAUUUUGACUUAGAAAGGUUCAGAAUGUUUGCUAUCCGAAGUUAAAUUGAUAAAUAAAUUUUCGAGGUAAGCACCUGUAUUUGAUUCUGUACUUAAGUAGCAAGAAUUUUGAGACAUAUGCAGGUGCAUUAUUCUACAGAUGAAAGUGGAACUGGAUGUAAGAGCUGCUGUGAUGGGUAUUAUCGUAAAUUCGUACUUCAACAUUUUUUCUCAAGUAUCAUCUGGUAAUGGAUAUGCUUAAAUGAAUUAGGCUAUUAUGCUAUUAAUAGUACCAAGUCAUUGAUGUUAUUAGAUUUUCAGUCCUUAAAUGAAGGAAUUCAUGAUUAGGAUGAUAAUAGUUCCGUAUAGUUGAGUGAGUUGUUUCUUGAAUAGUAUGAUUUAACGAAUGAAAAUGAUCAAAUGAAUAGAUCUAAUGAUGAAAAAUUUUGAUAGUAUUAAGUGUUUGGUGUUAUUGAUAGCAUACUAGCCGAAUUCUGGUUAAAUAUCUUCUAUUCUAAAGGCGCAAUCAUCGGUACUGGAAUCCCUGAACUGUUUGAUGUUUUGAGAUGCAUCGUAAUAAGAUACUUUCGAGAUUAAUUGAACGCGGAAUUAAGUGCUUCCAAACGCACCUGCAUAUUAUUACAUCCACUGUUACUGCUUCCAAACGCCAACACUACUGCCAUUUUACCUAUUAGAUGAAAACUACCCUCUUCUCAUCAUCAUCGUAAUUUUAAUGCUCUCCCAAAACAGUAACUUUUUUUUUUUUAAUCUUUUAUUGAGUAGCCCCGAGUUUUAUGCAGUAGCAUCGAGCCUGGAGAAAAUGUAGGCCCGGAUCAAUUGAGUAAGAUGGGCUCAGUCCAUAACCUAAUAAUAGUAAUAAUAUAAAUGUGUUUUUGGGCCGGACCUGGUGUUCUUACGAUUUUAUCAACGGGCCUAGCUUUUGUAUUCACGUCCAACCCAAAAGAAAAAGGAAAAAAAAAUGAAUAAAAAAGCUCUCUAGAACUUUUGAUUAAGGUAAAAAAGUAAAAAGAAAAAAAUGUUACUUGUGCAUACGCUCUUCAUAGGAGUGUAAAUCUUGCAUCUCUAUAUUCAAAAAUUGAUAAAUCCUUUAAAUUUAAAAAAUAGCAAGAAAAUAAUGGAUUAAUGUGAUUCACAAAGAACUUCGAGGUGUAAAAUUUACAUUCUAAUAUAAAAUUUAUGGAUAGUAUUAGUCAAAAAAAAAAAAAAAAGUAGUAGUAUGAGCUUUAAAUUCAUACCAAAAGCAUGAGUUCUAUUUAAAACUUUUGCUCAUCGCAACAGUAGGCUGUUGGUAGUGGGGACUUUUCAAACAACAGUACAACUUGUACAACAUUUCUAGCUACUAAGGCCAAUUGGAUAGGCUAUAAAAUCAUAGGCUAGCUUAAGCUACGUACUACAGUUGCUUACAAUUAGAACACAACAGCUUUAAUACUAUUUCAGAACUCACAUCAUUCAUGUUUCAUGUUUUGCGUCCUAUAAUCGUAUUUGGUACCACAUACCAUUAAUGAUUGGCAUCCCUGCAGGUGCGGUUAGAUCUUAGGAGUAAAACUUUUGUCAGCAGUCAGCAGUGAUAUGGACAUCUUACAAACAUACAGAUAAAAUUAUAUAAAAUUUACCCCAACUAUAGUUCCUUUUUACGGUUGACUUAUUUUAAAUUUUAACCUUAUCAUUCGAUCUUUUAAUUUAUUUAAUUUAAGUGGGUAAACAACACUUUAAUGUCAGAACAUAUCAUUUGCAUUUGCAGGUUUACUUAGCAUAUUUUAUUCUAUUUUUAAAUUAAGCAAUUAACUUAAUUUUUAAAGUCAAAGUACCGGUGACUAACUCAAAUCAAACAAACUUAAAAGACCGAAUAGUAGAAUCACAAUUUUGAAAGGCCGAAUAGUUAAUUCAAAAUAGCCCAUAGUUCGAUUAAAUUUUAUAAGUUUUUGCCGAAUAUAUGUAUAUAUAUAUAUAUGUUUUAGAUUGUAGUCCGUGAAUUAACUUUGCAAAUAUGAUGAUAAGUUAAUUCGUUAGCAUUUAAAAAUUUUAAUGUAGUACAUAUAUAAGUCGAAGCUGGACCAUUAAUAAUUUGUCAGUAUUAAAAUUGACUCAUUAAUUAUACUUUGUGUCCGUUAAACGACACUCGAUUUGCAGUUUUUGACUUUGUCACCCCCACUUUCUUCUAAUCCGGCACUGAGCAAUCAUUGAUUAUUCUUUGCAAAUCUUAUAGUAUGUGAAUCUCGCUUUCAUUAGAUAUGCUGACGAUCAUGUUUAAAAAAACUGAUACAGGAUUAGAUUGUUAAACAGCAAUUGAACAGUGUUAUUUGUGAUCAUUUCUCUAAACAAAUCUUCUUCGUCAUAGGGUAGGCUACAAAUCGUGCCCUCGGAAAUGCCACGUGUCACAAUUGUGUUAACUGUCCUUCGAUUAUCUGACGUGGAUUUGCCCCCUCUGAGAAGUCGAAAGCGACUAUGAAAUUUUUAAUGGUGUUUAGAUGAUUGAAAGCUACUUGUUUUUUUUUUUCUUUAUCAUUUUUUUUUUCUUUUCUCUCUACACUGGUGCACAACAUAGAAAUGCCAUGUUUCACAGUUGCAUUUUAAUGGUGGAGAUUCAUCACAAGGAAGAUAAAAGAAAAGGGUUGCUAGGUAGGAACAGUGGAUUUUGCUCUCAUUAUUCUCAAGACUCUACACAGUGUAGCUUUUGAUGAUUAAUGUCCUUUUCCAAGAAAAAGCUUAAGAAGCUUCUUCACUCGACAAAAUAAAAUUAAUAAAAACCGACCAUACAUAGUUUGUGCCCGCGCAAGAUCCAAAAUUUAAAAUCUAAUUACUUUACAUUUGUAAUUAAAUUUAUUUUUUUUAAAGAAAAUAAAAAAUUUAAAUAACUUAUAUGAACUAUAGACUAUUUUGAUUCAACUAUCUGACCUUUCAAAAUUUUGAUUUUUCGUAUCCAACCUUUCAAUUUCUAUAAUAUAAAUAAGUUGAUGGCUUUUGGAUACAAAAUUUACACUAAUUGCUAAUUUUAAUAAAUUUAUAGUUAUAUGAACUGCAUAAAAUAUAUUAUUUAACCCAUAAAGAUAAAAGAUGUGUUAAAAUUUUGAAGUUAGAGGAUCACUGAUUUGCUCAAAUUAAAUAAAUUAAAAAUUAGACAGUAAAAUUAAAAUUUUAAAAAUUGACUAUCGAAGUGGGUGAUAGUUGAGAUAAGAUUUGUAGUAUGCUUCCCUUCUCUCUCAAAAAAAAAAAGUUAAACAAAAUAAAAUAAUAAUUCUCUCUCUCUCUCUCUCUGUACUAUCUAUAUAUAGCAACAUAAGAGUAUACUGUAUACAUCUGAGUACUUGUUCUUUUUAUACGUUGUUGCCUUGUUGGUAAUGUUGACCUCAAUGGCCUCUUUUGUAUGUCUUUACGUAGUAUGAGAUCUAGUAGACCUAACUUGUGGGUCCUAAAUGAGUGCAUCCAAAUGUUUGACAUGAUUGCAGGUUUACCCUCUCAAAAUUAUGAAUUUCACAUAAAUGUCCUUCUAAAACGAAAAUAUCACAUAUACAAAAAAUUUAUUACAAUUUCCAUGUACAAAUUUCCUUUGGAAUCUUGCUUCUGGUGCAAACCAUGCACAAGCUCUAUAAGAUUUUUUUUUUUUUCUUUUACUUUUUACAAUUCAAAGUAAUCUACCCCCCGCACGAUGAAGGUAAUUUUGUGAGACAUAAAUACAAGCAAAACAUGACUUCAAACGACAGCAAAUAAUUUGCCGAUUCUUUCUUUUAUGCAUGAUCUAGAUCCUUUGCAUUAGACUUAUUCGUAUAAUUAAUAUUCAUAUGCCAAAGGGUCCGCUUGUAUUUUUUCCACGAUUGUUGGGUAGUGGUAUCAUUUUAUGAGAGGCCUUGUUUGUCUUGGCCUCAAGUAGUAUGAGCUCACUACGCAUGCUUCAGCGCGUAGAAACAAGAACAAUGUAUAUAUGAGCUAUGUAUGCGAACCAAUAUAUAUAUAUAGCUACCAAACUACUUUGAAGGUUCAUUUAGAUUCUCAUUAUAAUGUCAUUUAGGCUCUUAAUUAUUUAAUAUAUGCAUUUGCAGGGGUCUUAGAGAGAGAGAGAGGGAGAGAGAGAGAGAGAGAGUAAAACCAACAUUUUCUAUGUUCUAUACGGACAACCUCUAUCGUAGGUGGCAAAAAGUGUAAUGGUUGAUACUUGAGAUUUUAAGUUAGAAAUCUAGUUACUUCAUAUUUUUAGUUGAUUAGUUUAUAUUCAUUAAAAAAUAAACAAAACGGUCUUUCUCUCUAAAAAAAAAAAAGAUAAUAAAAAUCUUAUCUCUCAAAAUGUAGAAAACAUGCAAGUAGUUGUUGAUUCUCUUUGUAGCGUGUAAGUUACUAGAAUAGUCUCUCUCUCUCUACUUAGAAAAAUCUAACCCACUAUCUCCUCUUGCGAUAUUUUAAUGUAAAAUGUAAUUAAUUUUUCCCAAAUAGAAAGUCCCCACUAACAUGAUCAAACAGUGCUCUUUCUAAAUUAAUCCUAAGGCGACAUCACUGGAUUCGAUAUAAUCCAUAAUAAAUAGAUUAAAAAUUCUAUUUAAUUUUUAAGGACGAGUUUGAUUGCUCAAUAAAGAAUGGGAUGUUAGGUAUAGUUGUGACAUGAAAGGUUAAAAGGCUGAUCAUGGAUUUUAAUGUUUCUUCAAUCUUCAAUCUAAUUCAUCGGGUGCGUUAACAUCAUUUCUAAUUUUGUACAUAAGAUUGUAUCUAUGGGUUAGAUUAAUGUGUGGAUAAUCUCUAUACUUUUCUAUGAAGUAAUUACAGGUGGUCCCUAGCUAGUUUUCAUGCCUAAUUAGCUUAUGCAAUUUCCCUUUAAAUAUAUUAUUUCUGUCCAAAAUCCCUUCAUAGAUAUGAUAUUAAUCUAUGAUAUAUUUUGGAUAUUUGUUAAUUCAUAUAAUAUUAGCUAUUUAAGUCGAAGGCUAUAGACACCAAUAUAAGAAUUUUCCAUGCAUGCAUUGUACCCAUCUUUUGAUAUUACUUUUUUAAAUAUCAGUCUCUUGAUAUUUAAAGUUGCAAUUAAUUAAUCGUUCAAAUAAUUAAGCUCAUGUUAGCUCUUUUUUUUUAGUGCUAAUUAAUAUUGUGACAUUCACAAAAGCAAGUGGGGUUCGUGUUAUGAGACAGAGGGAGAUCUAGAGACGUGUCUAUUUCAAAACCUCUCAUUUGUACAAAUUUAGCAUUGGUUGGUUAGAAUCCAAAGAAACAUAAUUAGAUAUCUCUAAAAUGCAUGCUAGCUCUAAGUUUUUUUUUUUUUUCCUUUUUUUGAGAGAUAGGUAGCACGCUACCCGCUUCGUUUAUUUCAUUUAGAAAUAAACUUAGCUAGAAAUAUGAAUCAACUAGGAUUCGAAUUUGGGACCACGGGUACCAACCACCAAACCCUUUGCCACUUGCUCUAGGGUCGGUAUGCUAGCUCUAAGUUAAGCCUAUAUAUAUAUAUAAUACUAUAUAUAUAUAUAUAUAAUAUCUAUAUCCCUAUAUAGAAUUAGGUCUACUCUACUACUUAUCGCUCACGGGAGCUCCCGUACUAUAAGUGUUGUUUUCGAUCUUAGGGCUGUUCAAAUCAACGAUCCACACCGUUAAAUAUGAUCUAGGGUAUAUGAAUAUAUAGAAUAAAAUUUUAGUUCUUUCAGAUAUCGUUACUAGUAAAUAAAUUAUGUCAAAAUGGACGGUGGAAUUGAAUAUCUUUUUAAAAUUUGAGCAUAGGACUUUUAAAAUUUGAGCAUAUAUAUAUAUAUAUAUAUAUAGAGAGAGAGAGAGAGAGAGAGAAUUGAGCUCCUGUACUUUUAAAAGUACUAAGUUAUUGGUGCUUAUAGAUUUUUAGUCAUUGGAUUAAGAGAUAUGCGGUUAGAAUGAUAUGGGCCCCCUAGGGUUUAGUGGGUGGUUGGUUGAAUAAUAUAAUCUAAUGGUUGAAAAUGAUCCAAGAAGUAGAUCUAACGGUAAAAAACUUACAAGCACCAAGUGCUUGGUGCUUUUACAAGCACCGUAGCUGAACUAUAUAUAUAUAUAUAUUUGUUAUUUUUCUACAAGUAAAGGUUUUUAAAUCUCCACUUCGGCCCCUGGUCUCGAACGGACCCAACUUCUCGGGUGCAACCCAAUCGCCACUAAAGAAGCAAUCUGUUUGAGGACUCUACGGUAAGGAAUAUAUAGCUUUAAUUAAAUUCUCAGUUCAUGUAAAUAAUAUUACUGUGGUACAUUUUAAAAUCAAUACGAUCAUCCUAACCGAUCGUUUAUUCAAUAUGUAAUUAGUGACAUAUCUAAUGCAAAGAUUUUUGAUUGAUUCUGUUAUGAUAAAAAUCAAAAAGAUAUAGUUCGUCGGGUGCGAAAAUAUCAAAAGAGAUUCGAAAAAGAGAGAAGAAAAAUAAAGUACAUAAUAUUUAUAUGGUUCGGUCACCGACCUACGUCUACGUGCAAAAACAGAGCGAAAAUUUUCAUUAUAAUGAGAGUGGUGUACAAAAUAUGCCUCUCUCAUAAAAUCCUAAUUCUAAAAAUACACUCAUACUCUCCCUCAUAUGCUGCCCCAAAUUAAUAGAAUAAAUGGUAUAUUUAUAAUAGUGGUUAAAUUUUAAGAUGAUUAGAUAUGCAAAUCCACUAAUAAGACUGAAAAUAUUUUAAUUAGAUUAGAUAUAAUCUAAAUUUAACUUAAUGAGAUAAUCAAAACAUAAUAGAAUUACAAAACCUUGCUUGUUAAUGACAAAUCCGCAACCCGUAAGUAGAAAGGGUCUCAAAGAAUUUCCUACCAACCUACCAAUAAGAAGAUCAAUUGCACUAGAACUCUUGAAUAGGGCUAGGUUGCAAGGAAUAUUCUGAGCAUACUUGGACCAUUCUAAUAGCUGGAUCUGAAAUAUGACUAACUCAGAUCCAAAUAGAAACUGAACCCUGCAAACAUUGCAAUCAAAACCAAACAUCCUUGGGAAUUUCCUUUUCUAGAAAACGCUUGCUCGAUCCUCUUAUUCUCGCAACCAUUGAUCACACAAACGGUCCAUUGUACGUCCACACGUGUGAUGACGAUAAGUGGCCCUCUCGGUUUAUGCUACCUACAUGCAACUAGCUUGAAAGGUGCCCUAAUAAAUGUAUUACUAUUGAUAAUUCAACUUUGCAUGUACACGUACAAUUAGUAGUUGGGUUAUAAAUGUUAAAUAAUCACUAGCUCAUGUGCAUGAAACUGAUGCUUUGGAUUUCAAAUUAAGUAGAAGUACGUCUACGAAACUAGCCACGAACUUUGGAUCAUCUGUUCAACUUUUUUUAUGUAUAUAUAUAUAUAUUCACUAAUCUUCAAAUUCCUAUGAGUUGAAUUCUAAUUGCCGACGCCUAAUGCAUCAAUGUAUCUGCGAAUUGCUAUCUUCAUCCAGCCCGCCGCAUCUCAUGUCGGUAACUUAGACAUCUAGGGCAGUGUUUGGAUUGGGGAUAAGGGGAGGGAUAACCUCUUAUCCCUCCCUUUAAACCCAAACGCAAAUUUUUUAUCCGAGAAUAGUAGUUUUCGGAUUUCUGGAAUAAGCUGAUAUAGCUGUUCCCACCAACAUUUCCAUUUUUUAUAUAUAACUAUCCACUAUUUUUCUUAUUUCAUAUUAUCUAUCCAAACGCUAUUUUUCUUAUCCCCGAAAACAACCCAAUUUUCAUUCAAACGCUAUUUUGCUUAUCCCUAUAUUUGUACAUAUCCCUGUAAUAUCUAGUUCUGGCUUAUAUCCGAACCAAACGGUACCUAAGUCAUAAGUAUAUAUGAAAGAAAACAACUUAUUGAUUGUAGAAAUUAAACAAGUAAACAGAUAAGAUGGAGGAUAGAUAAGAGGAAAAUGCGCACAUCGAUGCACAACUAUCUCAAAGUGUAGGCAAUACUUUAUUGAGUUAUUUGAAUGAAAAAACUAUAUGAUUAAAUAGCAAGGUAUAAAACUUUAAAAGGUUGAUCCAAGAAUUAAUAGUAUUUCUUUUAUACCUUUCAAUAUUAUUUUAAAACAUUAUCCCUAAAGUGCCCAAAAAAAUUAUUGCACUGUUCGGUAUAAAAAGUCGUUCCAUCAUUCUAUCUACAAUACUUGGAUAGCUGAUGAUAACAGUUCGCAAAUUAUUAAAACUGUUUUGUUUUGAUCUAAAAUAACCAAAUUUAUUAAAUUUAAUCAUAUUUGAGAAUCCGUCCAAUCAAAAUACAUGAUAUUUUACAAAACUACCGUAACAUUAUUUUUUUUAAAAUAAACAAUAUAUUAUCUAUUUUAUUUAUUUAUUUAAAAAUAAAUUUAAUUAAAAAUAUAAAUUAACUAAUAUUCAAAUUUGAGAUCUUAAAUAUUAAUCAUCAAAUUCUUUGCAGGGACGGUCCGUUACCGUCACGUUGUUUUAGGGCCGCAAAUCUUGAAAAAGUUACUCGAGUAGUGGAAAAGGGGGUGGGGCCCGCGGGGUCGUCGUCGAUCAUGUCGGGGUGAUUUCCUGUCUUUAAAGUACACGUGGCGAGCGUAGGAGAUGCCGACAGUCGCUUUCGCAAUCCCCCCCGGGCCCGCCCCCACCACCCCCACAUUGCUUUUUGAUGUUCGCGCCCCGAUAGCGACCCGACCCGAUUCGCGGUGCUCCCCAUCCCCAAUGGGUAAGUUUUUUAUUAUAAUUAUUUUUAACUCCUCUCUCUCUCUCUCUCUCUCUCUUUCUCAUGCUCCUCGUAAGCAACCAAACAACUUCCCAAAUAAUUUUCCGAUAAAAACGUGGUGAACUUGUUUCCACUCCAAAAUGAUCAUUAUUUAAUUUGAGUUAGUCGAUAAUAUUUUAGUUUUAAAUUUUUAAAUAUAUUAUUUAUAUUUAUAAAUUUAAUUAAUAUAUUUUAUUUAAUUUUCGUAACUAUAAAUAUUCAAGAAAGUAAGUAAUCAGUUUAACUUUUAAAAUAAAAAUAUUAUUGACUGAUUUAAAUCUAAUAAAUUUAAAUUUUUAAAAAAUUAGAUAUCUUAUUUAAAAUAAACUAUAAUUUAGAUAAUUGUGCACGUUUUUACGUAACUUUCGAAGAGAAGCAAUUCGGGAAACAGCUGUGAGGACGAAGGCGACUCCACUCAAAAAGCGCUUCCACGAGAACUUACUAGAAGCACUUUUAGCGAAAUGUCUGAUGCGCCUUGCGCUUGUAGAAUCUAAAAAGUGAAUAUUACAAACUUUAAUUACUCCGCUCCCGAAUUAUCAGGUCUUAUGAAAUGACCUAUCAUUUUUUUUUUUCCAUUUUUCUAGGAUGCUCUUUUUUUCUUUUGAAAGUAGCGUCAUUUCAUCUAUUAUUCGAGUAUCUCCCAUUCCCUUUCCCCAAUAGAAUACUGAAUAGAAACUUAAAGGAUGGGUAAUGAUAGGAGCAAAUUUGAUAAUUUUAAGUUAAAAUGUGUAUAGUGGCUAAAUUUAACUAUAUAUAUAUAGAGAGAGAGAGAGAGAGUUCGGCUACUAUUCUUUUAUGAAUAUGAUCGCUUACUCAUAAGUCAUUUCGAUGACGACCCAUGCAUACCGUUAAAUAUAUAUUAUUGAAAGCGUUUGAAAUUUUUAGAAAUUAAAUUUUAUAAUUUUCUGACAUCAUUUAUCUUACGAUCAAAAUAUCUCAAAAUUGACAAAAGGUCGAUAUAGGAUAUUUGCUAGUUUAAAUGUUUAAAAGAAUUAUAAUCGGUUGAAUUUUUGAUAGAAAAUUCUAUUCACUAUCUAAAUAAAGAUCAAUUACUCCGAUCUUAAAUUGAAGUAUCCGAUUCACUAUUUUUAGAAAGUCGUUCGAUUUUGACCUUUCAUUUUAUGUCCGUUUGAUGUACUUUAUUAUACUGUCAAAAAAUUACGAAAUUUAUUUUUUAAAAGUUUCAAAUACUCUAGACUAUAUUUAACGGUAUGGAUCAUCAAUUCGGAAGCUCCAUCAUCGAAAACAAUUUAUAUAUGAAUACAAAGAGCUCUAUAUUUAUAAAAGUAUAGUAGCCCUACUUUCUCUCUAUAUAUAUUAUAGUGUUAUUAGUAAUUGUCGACUGUCAUGAGCUGUAAUUUUUUUUUUUUUCCCACUAUCUUAGAGGCCCUGGUUUCUUCACUCAUGUAGCAUAAUUUAUCUUUUUAAUGAAUGAAGCGGGUAGCACGCUACCAUUUUCUCAAAAAAAAAGAAGAAGUAAUUG